UAUGGUGUACAAUCUGGAUGCAAGCAUAUGCAAAUUUCUUAACUCUGUAAUCCACUAAGGCCUUGUUAAGUACAUAAUCCUUGCUAGCGAAAAUGCUCAACAUAUCCCCUAUAUAUGUAAGAGAGAGAAAGGUUAGAAAGUACUAACACUAAGAGAUAUGUGCUAUCAAUUAGAAACACUUUAAGAUGACAUUAUCAAUUAGAAAACCAAGUAUUAAGCAGCAUAAGGGAAAAUAACAAACAAGGGCACCACAGUGGUUCAGAAACCAAUCAAUAUUUCCAUUUGUCACUUUUAUAAUAAUUUCCCAAGGGAAAAUCCUCAUAAUAAGCUUGAGUACCACCUAAUAACGUGUUCAAAUGUUACCAUAAGCAAAAAUGAGUGAUCCUAAAAUUCAUAUGACAAGGAAAGUCGUCAACUAGCAAACCGCCAAAUAACAGUUAUAUGGCUAGAAUUAGUUUUCUCCAACUUCAAGAAAAUAAAACAUAUUAAAACAAAAGGAAUUAUGGUGCAAAAUAAUGAAUAUGCUGCAAAGGUAAGAAGUUUCUGAAGGUAAAAAUGGUCAAUAAAAAACAACAUAUAAUUUGACGUAAAUCAAAGUAGAAUUAUUUCUCGCAAUGAAUUCUCUGCCAAUAAUGGCUAAGAGAAGGGGUAUUUAUUGAGAAUUAGUUAACCAGGCAGAAAUCAUCUAGGGCAUAGUAUUGUUUUAGGUCUGCGACAUUAAAAACAUAAUGAAUGUGUAAGUCUGGUGGUAGUUCUAUUUUGUAAGCAUUAUCUCCGAUCCUCUUUAGGACACGGAAUGGUCCUAAUUGUCUGUCUUUUAGUUUGUUGUAUGUUUCGAUUGGAAAUCGAUUUUUUCUUAGGUGAAUCAUUACUAAAUCUCCCUUGGUAAAGGUAGUUUGUCUUCUUUUUCUGUCUGUUGCGUCUUUGUAGGACUGAGUUGUUUCUUUUAGGUGAUUGUGGACUUCUUCGUGUAAAUUCUGGAUUUUUUCUAUCAUCUUUUCUGCCUCUGAUAGUUAGGGAACUCAACACAUUUUACUUGACCUAACCAAGAUGGCUCUUUGUAUGUAUAUUGCAUGUGUUGUUUGUUUUUUUCUAUAGCUCUUGAUUGUCUCACUUUUUUACGUUUUGCAUUUGCAAUUCUCUUUUCUUUCUUUGGUAUGCAAUGUGGUAACAAGGUCUUGCUAGAACCGGUGGGCUAACCUUUCUAUGGUUCUAAACUUAGUUUCUAAGUUUGACUGCUCCCUUCGGAGUGACAACAAGCCUCGUUUUCCCCUACUAUGGAACGGGGAGGAUUCAUUUUCUUUUCAAAGCCCUCGUCAAACUCAAUGCUAAGUUUGACUGCUCCCUUCGGAGUGACAACAAGCCUUGUUUUCCCCUAAUGUGGAUCGGGGAUGAUUCCUUCUCUUUUCAAAGCCCUCAUCAAACUCGAUGCUGUGCUUAGAACGCUAAGAGUAGGUGGUCUGGUUUUGGUUAGGCCAAAAGUGAAGUUUUCCCCCAUUUUUUAUGGGCUUUUUCUAAUGUAUAUUGGAUAUGUUGUUUGAUUUUUUUUAUAGCUCUUGAUUGUCUUACUGUUUUAUGUUUUGCAUUGUCAAGUCUCUGUUUUCUUUCUUUGGUAUGCAAUGUGGUAACUAGGCCUUGCUAGAACCGGUAGGCUAACCUUUCUAUGGUUCUACAUUUAGUUCCUAAUUAAGUUUGAUUGCUCCCUUCGGAGUGACAAUAAGUUUUGUUAAUGUCGACCCUUUUCUAAAGGGAUUUAGUUCACUGUGGCUAGGCAAGAGGUUUCUAACUCAUGUUUGACAAGACAAAUUUGUUAAAACCAUCUUAGUUUCUAAAGAGUGCCUCCUAUCCCUUUUUUACUCUAUCUAGGCUAGGUUUGGACUAAGUGCAUCAUAGGUAAGUCACGACAAAGCAACAAAGGAAGACAAAGCUAGAAAAGUAUUCAUGCACUUAUUUAUUAUACAUGCAAUCAAGCAUUCACAACAUACAUACCAUUUUCUCAAUCAUGCAUUCACACCUCAAUAAGAAAUAGCUAAAAGGAGCUUACAACAAAAAAGACAGCCGCUUAUUCUCAAAUUUCAGCACAUAUACUCAUCAAAAUUUAGAAUUUCACAUUGCAAACCCGAGCUCAGUGCUCAAGGGUUGCCAAUCAUGCUUUUUAUGCAAGAUCUAAUUAAGCUAAGAAGGUAUAAUGCUCAUUUUGUAUGGAAAGAAUUCUGAAAUUUUUUUUAAAUUUGGGCAAAAUUUGAACCCCGAAGUUUAGACUAAACAUGCAAGCUAAGCAAGCUAUUACCCACACCCACUCAAAAAAUUGCUUUGUCUGUCCUAAAAGCUUUUGAAAAUCAAAGUAAAUGGAGAAAAAUAAGGGGGGAACUUUGGACUCCCCUAGAAGGAUCGACAUCCUUGACUUUGGUUUGAAGCUUGCAUGGAUAAACCUUUUCAUUCCUUUUUAAUUGAUUAUUCAUCCUUGUUCCUGAAAAUCAAAGGAAAUUCUCUCAAUUUUAUAUAUUACUAAAAUUAGGAUACAUAUAAGUCUUAACUAGUCUAAUAGCACCCUCCAUUCAUCUUCCCCUACACUGGCUAUGGUAUCAAAAUUUUCAAUUAAGUAAUACGUCUACUAACGAACUUGAAAACAAAACACAUCACACUAAAAAACACAAACAUCACUUUAACCCAACAGAAGCUGCUCUUUUUACCCUUGCACUCACUAUCACAUUACUAUCAUGUUUGUCAACUGUCAAACUAACUCUUUUAAGUUAUUUAGUGUGACUACAAAGUUAUGAACACCAUAAUCUUAAUUAAAACCUUUUAAUAAACAAAUGCCAAGUUACUACUCAACAAUGGCAAGGAAUUCAAAAAACAUGACUGUAACGACCCAACUUUUCUAGGUAAGUCGAAGUCAUUAAUUUCAAAUAAGGACCUGAGUUUACACAAAAUCUCAAUCUCAAACAAUUUCAAAGUCUCAAGAAAAACAAAAAUUUAUAUCUGGGCCCUGUUUAAAAUAACCAGCACCUUCAAGACAAAUUUACUAAUUCGUGAAUACAAUUCAACUAUAAAAUUUUCUAAACAAUCUCAAGUACUAAACAAAACACGUGAAACAAAACAUUUAGCGGAAGCAAUUUAAAAUAACCCCUAUGGCAAUCACGCUUCCUUUCUGCCCCUCGCCGGUUUGCCGUCUUUAUUAUCUUUGCCUGAAAAUUAAAUAUAAGGAGGGUGAGUAUAAAAAUACCCAGUACGAGACCCUCUACUGGUCCCGUCAGGGUAAAAUAAAUUGUUAACAUUCUAUUGGGACACCCUGUACAGUCACAGUCUUGUGAUCCCGUAGGAUGCACAUUUCAGUCUAACGCCCCGAGGGACGUACAUUUCAGUCUAGUGUUCUGCAGAAACACAUAUCAGUCUAAUGCUCUUGAAGGUGCAGAAUAAUUGGUGAUCCGUGUGACACCUACAAGGCACACAUCCCAAUAAAAGCUAACAAUUUUUCCCCUCAGUCCAUUCUAAACAUCUUAACAGUCAUUCACAGAUCAGUUAAACAUUCUCAUCACGUAAACUCUUUAUUUAACCUCAAACAGUCGUCUUACUCUAAUUUAGUCCAAGGUCAAUAAAAAAACAUAUCAUUACAUCAGUUAACAAGCUAAACAAUCAUAACCUCCUCCUCAGUCACCAAGGGCACCACCAUGACGUUUCUUCCGUUCACAAGCACACAACAUAACAGUAGAUUAUACACUCAGUCUAGACAACAAUCAAUCUACUAAUCAAAUCCACACUUUAUAUAAGCAACAUCUACGAGAUUCAGUCGUUUCCACAUCCUUAUCUUUGUACACAUACAUAACCAGACAGUCAUAACAUAUACUCAACCACAGUCUACAUCAAUCCAUGCACAUAUAUGUAUUAAUUUCUCCCAGUCAAACAUAGCAAACAUUAAACUUUAAGUCAAUGCCCAAACAUACAUCAUAACAGUCAUCUCUACUCAGUUCAAAUCAAUACAUCUUAAUUAGUCAUUAUAUCUUAAUUUUAUUGUUGAGUCUAGUAGAAAAUCCCUUACUUUCAAGUUAGUUAAGCUCCUUAACCACGUUGAAGUCUACGAAGAACGAACCUAAACAUUAAGACAAUUUCUCAAUAAUUCUCAUCAAUCAUUUAAAUUCAACCCAAUGUGAUUUUUUUUUUACAACUUACCCAAAUCUUCACAAAACGAGUUCCAACUAGAAUCAAUUGUUUGGUGCGAACCCAAUGAAUUCGAGUGUUACCUUCAACCUAUAAUCGAUAUAAUCGAACAGUAAACGAUUUAUCCAACCAAUUAUUCCAGCAAUAUUACUUGAGUUUAUUUUGGAAACAGUUACAAAUUUCAUAACUUCAAUCUUACCAAUCAAAAUUUAAUGACUCGUGGCAAAGCAGGAACGACAGCGAACAACCCAAUCGAAUGGCGUGGGUUUGCUACCUGCGGCAGGACGAAGAAGGAACUCGACGCGCAGAAAGUUGGAUCUGGGGUCUUUAGUUCGGUUCACGGUAGCGAAUUAAAACCUGAUUGCGCGGACGUCAAAGGUGUUAUUCGCGGAAGAAGUCGAGCAGCAGCUUUGCGAAGAGACGACGUGCGACGGAGAGACUGUAUACAGACGGACGGAGAGUCGCGCGGCAGUGCAGAAAACGGAGGAGAAAGGAAUGGGCGGCGGCUGGGCUUGGCUUCGACGGAGACAGAGGCGAUUAGGACGGGGCACGGCGACGCAGAUCUGGACGACGGCGCGGAGACAGAGGUUGCGCGGCGCUGGGCAGAGGGUCAAACGGCGCUGGGCGAAGGGUCACACGGCGCUGGGCGGAAGGUCACACGGCGGCCUUGCUUCGCGAACAGAGAUGGCGGCCGACGGUUGCAGCGGCGGCUGGGUAUGGUAGAAAAGAAAGAGAAACGGAAGAAGAAUAGGGGCGGCGACCGUGGAUCGGAGAAGAAAAGAAGGAUGAAAGCGAUGGUGGCCGGUUGGAGGGUGCGGCUGGAGGUAGGGAUCGGUGAAGGAGAAAAUAGAAAAAGAAAAUGAAGGGGAAAUGGGGGUUGCGCGCGGGAGGAAGAAGAAAGGAAAAAAAAUUCUUUUUUUUUUUUCUUUUCUUUUAUUUAAAUUAAAUAAUAAAACUAAAAUAUGUGUAUUGAUCAAAUGACCCAUAUCAAUAAGGACACAAAAUUGGCAAAGAACAAAUAAAUUAAAAUGGACAAUAACUCUUGUUUCAUUACUUUCUCUCUCAUUGGAGUUCUUUUGUUCACCAUCAUUUCAAAUGUGGCAUCAUCUAACGACGUUGUUUCUACCAUCUGUUCAGAAAUCUCAAAUCCACAAUUUUGUUUAAGUGUGUUGAAAUCUGCAGGCACUACAGAUCUAAAAGGCUUGGCUGUAUACACCUUAAACCUUGCUCAUUCAAAUGCUGGCAAAUCUUUGAUCCUAGCCAACUCACUAGCAAAAGCCACCACCAAUCCUCAACUUAAGCAACGAUAUUCAUUUUGUGCUGAGAGCUAUGAUGAAGUUGUUGGUGACAUUGAAAAUGCUCAAAAACGACUUGGCACUUGGGGACUUUAUUGGUGUCAUUAUUGCAACUACUGGUGCCAUGACAACUCUUGGUGAUCACUGUCAGAAUAAGCUCUUGCAGCCGCCGAAGGAUACAUCGUUGCUUUUAAAGAAUAGCAACACUCUAGAUGAUAUAAUUUAGCAUUAUUAUGGUUAUAUCCGAUCAUCUUUGAGGGUUAUGUACUUGAACAUUUUGAUCAAUAAAUAAACUGAAGUUUAAUUUUUAAAAUAAUAUUACAAUGUGAUGGUGAUUGGAAUUGAUUACUUACUUUGAUUAAACUUGAGAAGAUAAGAAAAUCAAUUAAUAGAAACGUUCACCGACACACAUUGUCAGCACGUCGGAGAAAGCCUAAACUUUUUUUUCUUUUCUUUUACGUUCUGUUUUCUUUUCUUUGUUUGCCAUCAUCAUCAUCAUCUUCUUCUAGCUUCUUACGUUCUGUUUCAAUUGCAUACUUCUGUUAUUCUUGUAAUUUCUUCGUGGUUUUCUUUUUAACUUUGUGUUUCAGUGUGGAUUCAUAAACACAUUUUUCAGUGCUCUGGAUUCUGGAUCUGUUAUGAUUUUGAAAGGGUACAGUGAAGUGAAAAGUUGAAAUGGAAAAGAAAAAAAGAAGAAAAGAGGACACUUCUCGCGGUGGUGGCGGCAAAGACUGACGUCGACGACAACACAACUCUCCUCCUCUCCCUAUAUCUCGGCCGAUUUUGGGUUUAUUUUCGUUUUGCAUUCUGUUAUGUGUGGAAGGGAGAAUAAAUAGUGUGGACUUUCCCCGACGUCUUCGAAAACGUUGGGAAAUUUACCUUUCGCCGACGUAUGUAGUACACACGUCGGAGAAAGUUUAAAUAAUAAAUUCAUUAUUUAAACUUUCCCCGACGUACUCCUGUCAUACGAGUCUAAAUUAAAUUUAAUGCGUUCUCCUUCGGCGAUGUGUGUCAAGGUGACGUUGGAAAAAGUUUAAACACUAAUGCAAUUAUUUUAAAUCACAUAUGUUAUCGCUUAUAUGGCAUAGGAGUCUAUUAACGAUAGAAAUCUAUCUUGAUAGGUUUUUGCUACAUUUACAAUGUUUAAAAAAUAUUCUUAUAUACUUAACUAUUAUUCCUAAAAUUGCUAACCCAUUAUACUUACCCUUAGUUAAAUGUAUAAUGUCAAAAGUAAGUUUACUACGAAGGUAAUCUAUGUGACCCUUUUAUCCUAACGUAGGAAGUUUGUUCCACUCCAUACCAUUAUUGAACUAAAAGGAUUAAGUGUGUAUUAAUAUGUUUAAACAAGUAUAAUUAUAAGCAAAAUCUAUAAGUGAUAUAUUGAUAUUAGCAAUACAAUACGCGUCACAUAUGCAAACAUUUUGUGUCUAAUCGUUGUAUUUACAAUUAACUCCAUUAAAAUAUUACAAAUAGAAAUAGAACUCUUUAACCUAUGUUCAGUUAGGAUCACAAACUACAAAAUGAAAGCAUGGAACAAAUUUAAUUUUUUUUUUCUUUAAAGGAAAUUUUGUGUGUAGCACAUUAUAUUUUUUUCUUUCCUUUAAAAAACAUUAUUGAUCUUAUGAUAUUUGACAUAUAUUAUAUUUUUUUAAGAAUGUAAAUAAUGUAAAUAAUGUGCCAAAUAAUUGAAAACAUGUUAUCCAAAACAGAGAAUGGUUAAGAAAUUGUUGACAUUUAGUCAAAUUAAUAAAUAAUUCAAAAUUGUGUUUGAUUUUUGAAUUUGAAAAGAUAGUAAAAUUAGAAGUGUUUUGAAAUAGUGUUUACGAGAAGAUUUUUAAUUUUAAAUAGCAUUAUAGUAGCUAUGGAUGGUUAUAUAAUAGUCUACACAAUCUUUGUCACAAAUGAUUAAUUCGAUUUUUUAAAUCAAGUCUAAUGUUUUUUUUUUUUUUUUGCCUAUUUCUUACCCAUAAUUUUUACAUUUUUUGUAAGUAUAAUGGUUGAAUGCAAAAAGAGAGCUGACUAGUAAGUGCAAAAAGAGAUCUCACAAGCUUCUGCAAAAGCUAAUCAAGCAACCCAAAUCAUAAACGAGGAGAAAAGUUGAUUGGUUAAGCUUUGUUGUAGUAAAGAAGAAGUCAAAGUGAACAUGGAACGUUCUUCACUCUCAAAGAACAUCGCCAACAUAUAGAUUAUAUACUUUUUCUGGUAUUGACCCAAAAAACACAAUCCAAGUGUAUUUUUGGUGAGAUGCAUAGUUUAACUAAACCGUGUUAUUACAAAAUUUUUAAUUACUAGGAACUCCUAAUGAAACGAAUACAUUAUUUUUAUAAUUACGAGGUAAAAUGGAAACAUACAAACUACUAAAAAAAGUUGCAAUUCGAUUAUUGGGAUUCAAUCUACUCUCCAUGAAUGUUUCUUGAAAUGAGAGUUUUUAAGCAGCUACAACUUGCUUAUGUAUAAAAGCAAAACCCUUUCUCAACGCCUACCUUCAGUUUUGGCUUUAGAGCUUCAAGUGAUUUUUGCCCCUACUCAGAUAAACCCUGAAGAUCAGAUGUUACAAAGGCUUCAAUUCCACAUGCAAAAAUCAUGUUCAUGAACCAAAAGCACCUUAAGCUUCUCUUCGAUAUCUUUGAGCUCACUGGAUAAAGAACUGAUUUCUAAAGCAAUCAUCUCUACCCAUAUCCUCAUCGUUCCCACUGUCUUUUAAUAAGGUUGGCAUGAUAAUCACAACAAAAGAAGAAGAAACUAAGAUCAAUUUAACAAAUUUUAUGUUGGGAAACUUUUUUAAGAACAACUACUUAUAAACCAACCUUAGCUUUGGCCUCACAUUCCUUGAAUUUUCUAAAAGUAGAUACCACCUGUCCGGGCAACCCACACCAACCAACCAAGAGUAAGUUAGUGUGAAAGACACUUAUUUAAUGAAGAAUAUGUAAAAGAGGUCAUUCCAACUGUUACACAUAAUAGUAUUGGAGGCAGAUAACCUUGCCAUACCUCAUCAAGUUCUGAUAUUGAUUGAGCUAGUUUUUGAUACUCUGUGGGGUUUGAGACAAUAUCUGGAUUGACCAGCUUAACCUAAAUAAUAAUAUCGAUAGUGAUUAUUGUGUAGGAAAAUAUUAAAGCUAUAACCAAAUCAAAAGCAUAAUUGGAAAUACAUCAAAGAUGUAAAUGCAAAUUUCAAAAGUGGGAUCUACAGAAUGUAAGGGGAAGAAACUCAAAUAAAAUUACUUUAUUAUUAGUUAUAACGACUACUAAUAGAGAUUCCAGAUACACCACAGUUCCACGUCCUCUUUCAGGAGGAAAGCAAUGGUUAAAAAUUAAUUGUGAAAACUAAAGAAGGUCCUGUUCAAAUCCUAACAGCAAUAGGAAAGCAAGGAGUUAUAAGGUGAUCACUAUAGGCCAAAUCCAAAAUGCAUUCAAUAUUUGUCUUCCAAUUUCAUUAUCAAGUGCAUAGGCAAGGUCCCUAGUGAGGAAGUUAUUCGUUCUUUUCUUCAUUUUCUAUAGCUCUAGAAGUAGCUAAAUGGAAUCGUCAAGCACCUAAUCUAUUAAUUUUAAAACUCAAAAGUUCACCGCGGGAUUCUAGUCACUGCUGAAACAACAUAGAGUUCACUAGUUCCACAGUUAAAUUAAUUGCAAAUUGCAUUUCCUGGCAUUUUCAAGAAAAAAAAAAUGCACAAAUCAUAAUAUGAUGAAGUAGAAAAAUUUUGUGAGCUCGACUUUUCCAGGACAUAUCUUAGCUACUUCUCCUAUUCCAGCUCGAUAACCAUUGUACUUUAACAAUUGAAACAUUAAUCCAAUAGUUAACAAUGUUCUGCACUUUAUGCCCUUUACAUUUCCAACAACUUGAUGCAUACAUCAGUAGUUAACACAGGCACGAGCUCUUAAAUUCAAUGCAAAAUAAACAGUCCCAUUCCAAGCAUAGACACCAAAUACAAACAAUUGAUGGACUUGAAUCAGUGAAGAAAUAAGAAUGUCAUUUAACAGCAAAGCACAAAUUACCGAUAAUUUUUUCCACGUCUUCUCAGCAGAUUCCAAUUUCACGAUCAAAUAAGGUUCCUAAAAUAAAGCAAUCACCAUCAUCAUUUUCCACAAAUAUGAUUCGAACUAGUUUUACCACAAAUUAAUUUCUAGUAACUUGAAGAAAAACUCAGUGAACUCAAAGCAUAACGAAACUCAAGUUCUGUUAAAGCCAAUCCGAACAAUAAGAUAUAGACAUAUUGUGUUCUCGAAAGAAAAACAUUCAAUAAAUCUAACAGCCAUGCAAAUUAGAGUUGAAGCUCUAAAGGGAGGUGCAAAGCAUUUUAAGUUCCAGAGAGCAUCUUCUGAAGGCGAUGAGCCCAUAAGAUGAAAAAAAGGCCUCAAGUGAGGAAGAAAGACGCCAUCCAAACAUGAAAAAAGGAAGAAAGGCAAGAUUUUGGUAGCUCCAGACCUGAGGGAAGCCAACAAGGUGGCGAGGGAGGCAAGGCCCCAAAGUUUUAGCAUUGCCAGCAAAGUGAAGGUAGAGAGGACCACAGCGACACUUUCCUUUCUGACGUGGCGCCUCCGAGAGUUUAUGGACGCCCCAAUUGGGGCGUUUGGAUGGAGUAAGUUCUUCAAGGGACUUCCAAGAUUCGAUGGAGGUUGUCAAGAAAUUCUACGCAUUCAGAUUACAACCACUACAAGGAAUUUCAGAUCAACCACACAACAAUUUAACACUAUUGGGAGAAUCCACGAAUUCUUGGUCAAGUAGAAGAACCUCCAUGUGGAAGAAACAAAUUGUGAACGUGUCGAAGACCUUGAAGUGUGGAAAUGGAAGAUCAAAGAGUUCCAGCUUCGCCAGUCGACAGGGACGUCAACUGUUUAAGUAGGGGAGAAUGUCAAGAGCAUGCUUGUCCAAGGCAUUGUUUGCCCAUGGCCGCAUGGCCGAACAUCCUCAAACCGCCUUAUAUUUAUGUCUUAUAACUUAGUUUAGCCAUUUUGUUUCCUUUUGUUGUCGCCGACCUAGGGUGUGACGUUUCAAAAUUUUCAUAUGCAAGUCUGUCAUAGCUAAAAAUGUUUAAAAUGUACUAUAGGGAAGACAUAGUAGUUGAAUCCCUGACCAAGCCUUGUUGCACUCUUUGCAUUCUAAUCUUUCUUUGCAAUUAACAGUCUUCAAUGCUUUCUUUAACAGAUGUGUUUUCAAUUCUUUUCUUCUCUUCUUGUCUUAUAAAAAUAAAUUUCUCUCAAAACAUGAAAGAGGCUAUACCGUACUGCGUGCUUUUUUUGCGACUUCUGGAUUUCAUACAGCUUACUUGUUCACCGAGCUAGAACAAACGUCGCAUAAUCACCAUCCCCUAUUUGAAAAUUUACGAUUAUGACAGCAUGCGGUGAGGUGCACGCGGCAUGUGUGGGCCCAAGCCAAGCAUGCAACUGGCAUUCUGAUACUCUAUGCACGUGCAUGCUGCCUGCGCCCAUGCCCGUGCAGCCAGCAUUGUCAUGACGUAGUUUUUGGGAUGUUUGGUGUUUUGGGAAAUUUUGAGCAAAUUCUGGAUGUUCGAGCAUGCGGAUGUUCUAUGCAAUGCAACCAGCAGCCCAUAUGUUCUAUGUUCUCUUUACGGUCGUAUGUGCACAUUUGGUUAACUCUACUACUACUAAUGGGAAAGUUGACGAGCCUAUGCUGAAUUCAUCAGGAAAGGUGUACUUUGUUGAGCCCAUUGAGGAGAAGGAUACCUUCUUUUUUUCGAAGAGGUGUUUCAAUGCCUAGGCCGUCUUUUGACAAUGAGGUGUUAAUAUUACCUAGACUUCAUGCUAAGAACGGGUUGUGAAUUUAUAAUCAAGAAUGCAGUUCGAGUAUCAUGUCUUUCAAAUGAUUUCCAACAGCUUGAAUGUUUCUAUAAGACAAGAAUUUAUGCUUAACUGUUUUAGAAAGCAUGUUUUAUAAAAAUUGUCACUCACUAAGUCUUUCGACUUAUCCUUUCAAAUCAUUUCUCACUUUUCAGGUAUGGAUUAUGCAUUCCCUAAUGUUAAGCGUAUUGCUUGCUGAGCCAACCAGUUACUAGAAAUUGUUAAGUCAUUUUGAAAGUUAGUUUUGACUUUGUAAGAAAAGUUCAGGAUGAGCAUGUCUAUGUUUAUUGUUAAAGUUCCAAUGUUAUAAGUUAGUUUAGUAAAAAGGUCACUGUCAUGUUUAAAGCUUCUGCUGAUGUAUCACAAUAGUUGUAACUAGUGGUUUAAGUUAUUAGUUAAAGCAUGUAGCUUGUGUAUCGCUGUUUGUUUUGAGCAUGCAUUCAUGUUGUAACUGGUAGUUAAGUUAGAAAGGUUAGUCGGUUGGUAAGUUUUGCCAAGGUAUGGCAAUCCUUGCCAACCCUCGCACCUUCUUUCAGAGCUAGAUGUUGUUCAGAAAAUAAGGAGCUUUGGGAGGGGGUGGUGACAACAACACCAUCCCACUAGAGUACGCAAAUGAUGCAUUAUUGUUUAAUUAAGUCAUAUAUAACUUCCACAAUUUGGAUAGGAAUUUAACUCAUUAGAAGGUGUCCUAUAGAAUUUCUCAGUGAAAAGUUCAGAGAAGCUACAAACAAAUGUCACUACCGAACAACAAUCAUAUACAUGGGUUAGGGCUUUGAGCAGCUGUGAACACAACUUAAUAAUAAAUAUGAAGUCGUCCUCUUUUCAUCAUUAGUCAGAAGAAUUCUUAAACUUUCUAAAAAUAAUUGUCAAAUAAUUGAUUAUAUAGUAUGCCAUUUAUUUGGAAUAUACAAUUUUUUCAUUACCAGGAAAGGAGACUUCUCACUAAGUAAAUGUAAAGAGACUAAUGCUAUAAUUUGAAUUGGAAAAUAUAAUUUCAUAAUUAAGCAUCGAAUAGGGACUAGUUAAGAAGUACACACUUUAGUUUGCCAGAGUCCAUGUUCUACACAUGUUAGCCACUCUGUCAUUGGUUUAGCAGUAAAACAAAGGAUGUGUUUAGGAAUGUGAGCCACACAAAAGGGAAAGAAAACAGAAGGCGCAGUGAGCCACACAAAAGGGAUCGAAACGAAUGUUCAGAAAUAUCGGAAGGAUCGAAGAAAUAUGGAAGGAAAGACGAGGAAAAAACAACAGACCGGAGCAAGUUCAAGAAGGUAGAGAUCCCGAUCUUCAAUGGAAUAGACCCCGAUUCAUGGUUAUUUUUCGCGCCGAUCGUUAUUUCAAAUGCAAGAUACACAAGUUGACUGACUCAGAGAAGUUAAUGGUAGCGGUAAUCAGUUAUUAGGACCAGCUUUGGAUUGGUAUAGAUCAAUUGAUGAAUUGGAACAAUUCAAGAGUUGGGAAGAUUUGAAGCAAAGGUUGUUGUCCGAUUUCAGAGACGAUUCGGGAUGGAACACUCGUAGGCAGAUUCUUAAGGAUUAAGCAGGAAACGACAGUAGGGGAAUAUAGAAACAGUUUCGAUAAAUAUUUAGCUCCGGUAGCCUUCCUCCAGACCAUAGUAUUAGAAGAAACCUUUAUGAAUGGGCUAAGCCCAUGGCAUAAAUCCGAAGUUGAAACGCUGGAGCCCAUAGGUUUGGCCAAAGAUGAUGUAACUAGCCCUGAAAUUGAAAAUAGAGAGAUGGUUCGUCGAGAAUGUGGGCUUAGUAGUGUUUCGGGAAUGAAUCAACAAUUCAAGCAUAAUAACGUAAAGCAAACCUCGACAGUAAACACCCAAUCAGAAACCCACGGAAGGGAGCUGGCCAAUGAGAAACGAUUACGUUAAAAAGAGUGACGGCAGAUGAAAAGAGGAGGGAAGGUCCGACCAAGCGUCUUUCCAACGCUGAAUUUCAAGCACGGAGGGAAAACGGUCUGUGUUUUCAGUGUGAGGAGAAGUAUCACGAGCUGGACAUAGGCGUAAGGUGAAGGAACAGAAGGAAUUACGGAUGUUAGUAGUAAAGGAAAUGGGAGAAGAACUGGAAAUCAUUGAGGAUGAACACUUUGAUGUGGAAAACGGAGGCCCAGACCAUUGAAAUUGAAAAAGUGGAGAAUAUGAAUAUAGAGCUGUCCAUUAACUCAAUUGUGGGGUUAUCCAACCCUGGAACCAUGAAACUGAAAGGGAAGAUAAAAGAGACCAAAGUGGUAAUAAUCAUCGACAGUGGAGCCACCCACAGUUUUAUUGCAAAAAAUUUUGUAACCACCCUUAGCCUACCAAUGACAGAAAAACGUCCAACUAUGGAGUGAUUUUGGGGAUCAGGGGUUGCGGUCAAAAGGAAAAGGAAUCCGCAGUAAUGUUGAAGUGACGGUAGGAGAGUGGAAAAUUACAAACAACUUUUUACCCUUGGAAUUAGGGGUGGUUGCACUCAUUGGGCAUGACUGAAUUUGAUAUGAAAAAUUUGGUGAUGACAUUCCGACAUGGAGGAAGGAAGAUAGAGAUAAAGGGGGACCCUAGUGUCACCAAAACCCAAGUGAGCCUAAAGUCUAUAAUUAAGACAUGGGGAGCUGAUAAUCACGGUUAUUUGGUAGAAUGUCGGGCCAUGGAGGGAAGGCUAGCUGAGGAAGGCUUAGAGGAUGAAGAAGUGCCAGCCACUGUUGACAACAUGAUCUCUCCUCUGUUGAGCAAAUUUAAUGAUGUUUUUGAUUGGUUGGAAGAGCUGCCUUCGAAGAGGAACAUUGAGCACCAUAUACCCCUUCAGAAGGGGGUGGAUCCAGUUAAUGUCAGACCUUAUCGUUACGCACAUCGGCAAAAGGAGGAAAUUGAAAGACUAGUUGAUGAAAUGUUGAAGACAGGCAUCAUAUGACCGGGUACCAGUCUGUAUUCCAGCCCAGUCCUUCUCGUGAAAAAGAAAGAUGAUAGCUGGCAAUUUUGUGUAGAUUAUCGGGAGUUGAACAAUGUCACUAUCCCAGAUAAGUUCCCAAUUCCGGUCAUAGAUGAGUUAUUCAAUGAGCUGAAUGGGGCCAACAUGUUUUCGAAGAUUUAUUUAAAGGCGGGUUAUCACCAAAUCAGGAUGCAUCUGAGAGGUGUAGAGAAGACGGCCUUUCGAACACAUGAGGGACACUAUGAGUUCUUGGUCAUGCCGUUUGAGCUAACCAAUGCCCCCUCUACGUUCCAAGCAUUAAUGAACCACAUCUUUAAGCCUUAUAUGAGAAGAUUCGUAUUAGUGUUUUUCGAUGACAUUUUGGUGUACAACAGGGGAGUAGAAGAACAUGGACAGCAUCUGGAAGUAGUCUUGGAGAUCCUUCGAGAGAAUGAAUUGUAUGUGAAUUUAGCCAAAUGUUGCUUUGCCAAAAGUAGAAUAGGUUAUUUGGGGCAUUUCAUAUCCGAAAAGGGAGCUAAAGUUGAUCCAGAAAAAAUAAGGGCAAUUAGGGAAUGGUCGAUUCCCACUAGUGUGCGAGAAGUUCGAGGUUUCUUAGGACUCAAUUGAUACUAUAGGAAGUUUGGGCAGAAUUAUGGCAGUAUCGAAAGCCCUUUGACACAGCUUUUGAAGACAGGAACUCAUUGUUGGACUGAAGAAGCAAGUGCUGCCUUUGAGAAGUUGAAGAUGGCAAUGAUGAUUCUACCGACGUUAGCUAUGCUGGACUUUAAUCUACCACUCGAGAUAGAAACAUAUGUAUCUUGUUUUGGUGUGGGGCCGUUUUAGUACAAGCCAAGAGACAAAUAUCCUUCUUUAGUAAAACCUUAUGCAUGUGGGAUAGAGCGCGACUGGUUUAUGAAAGAGAAUUGAUAAUAGUAAGUGUUUUGCGGUGCAAAGGUGGAGACCAUAUUUGUUAGGGAAGAAAUUUACAGUGAAAACUGAUCAGAAGUCGCUCAAAUUUCGGCUAGAACAAAGGGUGAUUCAACCCUAAUACCAAAAAUGGAUAGCCAAUCUUUUGGGAUAUUUCAUUUGAGGUAGUCUGCAAUCCUGGGAUUGGAGAAUAAGGCAGCCGAUGCUCUAUCUAGAACACCCCGUAUAGUGCACUUAAAUCAAAUAUCAGCCCCAACACUACUCGAUUUAGUGGUGAGUCAAGAAGAGGAAAAGAGGGAUCAAUACCUACAGGAAAUCCAGAAGAAAAUAGAAAGAACAAAAAGUGAAAGUUCCAAACUUUUCAGUACAGCAAGGGGUAUUGAAAUACAAAGGAAGGUUGGUGAUGUCAAAAACAUCCGUUCUACUACCCACUAUUCAUGCAUACCUAUUCAUGAUUUUGUCUUUGGAGGACAUUCAGGGUUCCUAAGAACGUACAAGAGGAUGACCGGAGAGAUUUACUAGGAAGGAAUGAAGAAAAACAUAAAGAAAUACUAUGAAGAAUGUCUUGUAUGCCAAAGGAAUAAAACACUUGCAUUAUUACCUGCUGGAUUGCUGCUGCCACUUGAGAUUCCUAACACAGUGUGGUCGGAUAUUUCCAUGGAUUUUAUAGAUGGACUUCCAAAAUCAGCUGGAAAAGAAGUGAUUUUUGUGGUUGUAGAUUGUCUGAGUAAGUAUGCACAUUUUUACAGCUAUAAAUCAUUCUUACAUGGCCAGCUUCGUAGCAGAAGUUUUUGUUAAAGAAGUGGUGAGAUUGCACGGGUAUCCGCAGUAAGUUGUAUCGGAUCAAGACAAAAUCUUUAUUAGUCAUUUCUGGAAGGAAAUGUUCAAGUUAGUGGGAACUAAAAUAAAUAGAAGGAAAUGUUCAGGUUAGUGGGAACUAUGCCCAUAUACACCAAGUUCGAAUAUAGAACUUGCUUCUUACUGAAAAAAUAAUGAUUAUUGGGACUUGCUAUAAAGGGUAUCCAAUACUCGAAGUAAAUGAAUGAUUACAAAAUGAUUGUUUCCUCAGUUUGAAGAAGAACAACAAAAAAGAAAAGAAGGAUAAAAAAAAAAAAAAACAAACUUUCUUUUUGAAAUUCUAAAAGAAUCCAAAAAGACUUCAAAAGGUGCAACCAAGAAAGGAGGUCAAAGAAGGGCUCUGAUAGACCCCCCUAUCAUACGUCAAUAUAGUCGAAAAAAAAAGAGAGAGAUCACAAGGGAACACACAUGCGAAGAAGAAAAGAUUUAAAGGACUGUUAGAAGAAAAGAUUUAAAAAGCUUGUUGGGCGUCGGUUAGAUUUGAGGAGAUUUAGGAGGGUCGUUAGGUGUUGAUUAGAAUAAAUAAGGAUAGGGAGGAAAGAGGAGGGUAUGCUGAGUUUAGAAGAAAAUUGACUCAUGCUCUUCCUUGAGCGAUAGGAUAGCAGAGAGGGAAUUAGAUUGUUUUUCGAAUUGAGUCCUCCUCAAUUUGAGUGUUCUGAUAUUUUGAUUUUCCUUGUAACUCAUUCUUUGAUUGAAGCAAUAAAAGUUCUAAUUGGAUUUCCAAAAGAGUUCUAUCAAAUUGGUAUCAGAGACAGUUUUUUCUGACCAAGAGGAAAAUGAUGGUCCAAACACGAAUGAAGGAGAGAAUGGAGGCGCACGACCAGGAGAUGCAUUUGAUGAGAAGCGAGAUAAGCAAAAUUUCGACAAUGAAAGAAAUAUUAGCCACGAUCAGCGUACAGACAAAGAAGACUCACAAAAUGUUGAUAAUGUUCAUGGAAUCGAUUACCAGAGAGCAUAUCGUUAUGAGUGAGAAAAUGGCCGAGUCGAGUGUGCGAGAGACAGUAUCAACAAUAACGAAUAAGAAGGAAGGCUCGAUCGAAAAGGACCAUGAGCACGAAACAAAGGAUGGAAAGAUAGAAGGAGAAGACGGAGCGAACGAGCAUAAUAAGUUCAAGAAGGUUGAGAUGCCAGUUUUCAACACGGAAAAUACCCAAUUUUUGACCCUUUCGAGCAGAUAGAUAUUUUCAGAUACACAAAUUGACUGAUGCUGAGAAGGUCCUGGUUGCGACCAUUAGUUUUGAAGGCCCGACGCUGAACUAGUAUAGGGCGCAAGAAGCACACGACAAGUUUACCAGUUGGUCGAACCUCAAGGAGAGAAUACUCAUCCGUUUUCAAUCAGCAAAAGAGGGGUCCAUAUGCGGACAAUUUUUUAGGAUCGGAUAACAGACGACAGUAGAAGAAUAUCGAAACCAGUUAUAUAAGCUGAUGGAACCGUUAUCCGAUCUACAAGACAGAGUGGUGGAGGAAACAUUCAUGAACGGUUUACUGCCGUGGAUUAAAGCAGAAGUGGAUUUUUGUCGUCCGGUCGACGUGGCUCAAAUGGUGCACGCGGCUCAACUCGUAGAAAAUCGAGAGAUAAUUCACAAUGAGGCCAACCUUAAGGGGUACGCCCAAGGAAAAUAUCCGCCUCAAGGUUCUAGGCAAAAUACGAGUGCUGCGACGGUGAACGAUAGCGACAAUAAGAGAAAUACAUUAUUUUCGAUGAGAACGAUUACUCUGAGAACGACAUCCAGAGAAGUUAAGAGAGGGGCAGGCAAAGCGAUUGUUAGACGCGGAGUUUUCAAGUCAGGAAGGAAAAAGGACAUUGUUUUCCGUUGUAAUGAGAUAUAUUAUCAUGAUCAUCGAUGCAAAAACAGAGGGCAAAGAGAGUUGAGAAUGUACGUGGUCAGGGCGAAUGAUGAAGAAUUUGAAAUCAUAGAAGAAGUGGGAGAAAAUGAAUUGUUUGGAAAUCACAUAAGAAGAUCAUGUUGUCAUCGAACUGUCAAUUAAUUCGGUGGUGGGGCUGAACAAUCCGAGGACAAUGAAGGUGAGGGGGAAUAUCAGUGAGCGAGAAGUUUUCAUUUUCAUUGAUUGUGGAGCAACGCACAACUUCAUCUCCGAAAAGAUAGUAAAGGAGUUACAACUGGCCACGAAGGCAACGUCGCACUAUGGUGUAAUCUUGGGCUCGGGGGAGGCGAUAAAAGGUAAAGGAGUAUGUGAGGACGUGGAAAUCAAGUUGAACGGGUGGAAGGUGGUGGAAAAUUUGUUACCCUUAGAAUUGAGAGGGGUAGAUGUUGUGUUAGGAAUGCAGUAGUUGUAUUCAUUGGGCAUGACGGAAGUAGAUUGGAGGAACCUCACAAUGACUUUUGUGCAACAAGGAGAAAAGGUAGUGAUAAGAGGAGACCCAAGUUUGACCAAAUCCAGAGUGAGUCUCAAGAACAUGAUCAAAAGUGUGGAAGGAUUCGUGAUCGAGUGCCGAGCAAUGGAGAGAGUCUUUGAGCCACAGGAAGAUAACGGGAUUGAAGAAGUAUUAACUACUGAUGAAGCAGUAUCGGUCGUGUUGAAGAAUUUUGAAGAUGUUUCUAAUUGGCCGAAGACACUACCCCCGCAAAGAAAUAUUGAACAUCACAUUCAUUUGAAACAGGGCACUGAUCUGGUAAAUGUUCGACCCUAUAGAUACGCUUAUCAACAGAAAGCUGAGAUGGACAAACUUGUGGAUGAGAUGUUGACAGCGGGAAUUAUCCGUCCCAGCAACAGUCCAUAUCUAGUCCAGUUCUAUUGGUAAUGAAAAAAGAUGGCAGCUGGCGUUUUUGCGUAGACUACCAAGCGCUGAACAAUGUAACCAUUCCAGACAAAUUCCCUAUUCCGGUGGUUAAGGAGCUUUUCGAAUGAAUUAAAUGAAGCAAACUGGUUUUCAAAGAUUGAUUUGAAGGUGGGGUACCAUCAGAUCAAAAUGUGUGGAGAAGACAUCGAAAAAGCAGCAUUCCGAACACAUGAUGGACACUAUGAAUUUAUGGUUAUGCCAUUCGGCUUAACUAAUGCCACAUCCACUUUCCAAGCUCUGAUGAACUCAACAUUCAAACCAUUUUUGCAGAAGUUCAUAUUAGUGUUUUUCGACGACAUACUAAUCUACAGUGAGAACUUGGAACACCAUUUGAAGCACAUUGGGUUAGCAUUGGAAAUCCUGAGAAAGAAUGAGUUAUAUGCAAACAAGAAGAAGUGCAGCUUCGCACAAGAACGUAUUGAUUAUUUGGGUCAUAUCAUUUCAAGACAAGGAGUUGAAGUGGACCUUGAGAAAAUCAGAGCAAUCACGGAAUGGCCUAUACCCAGUAAUAUAAGAGAGGUACGGGGAUUCCUAGGCCUCACCUGUAACUAAAGAAAGUUCGUUCAGCACUAUGGCUCCAUUGCCGCACCAUUGAUUCAACUACUUAGGAAAGGGGGAUUCCAGUGGACUGAGGAGUCUAAGGAGGCAUUCCAACAACUACAAAAUGCGAUGAUGACCCUGCCCGUUUUGGCGUUGAAAAAAUUUCAAUGCCACAUUUGAAAUGGAAACCGAUGCAUCGGGAUAUGGGGUAGGAGUCGUACUCGUCCAAGCCAAGCGUCCCAUAGCAUACUUUAGUCAUACGUUAGCCUCAAGAGAUAGAGCCAAGCCUGUACAUAAAAGGGAAUUAAUGGCAGUGGUCUUGCAUGUGCAACGAUGGCGACCAUAUCUGUUGGGGAGAAAAUUUAUUGUGAAGACCGAUCAGAAAUCCUUGAAGUUCUUGUUAGAACAAAGAGUGAUACAGCUUCAGUAUCAGAAAUGGGUAGCGAAGCUAACGGGAUACUCAUUUGAGGUGGUCUACAAACUCAGCUUGGAGAAUAAAGCAGUAGACGCCUUGUCUUGGAUGCCUCCUACAAUUAACCUCGGUAGCAUAACAGCUCCUACAUUGGUUGACAUUCUGGUGACUAAAAAGGAAGUCAAAGCGUAUGAAAAAUUAAGCAAAAUAAUGGAAGAACUACAAGCAAUGGAAGAAGUAACAGAGGGUAAAUUCUCCAUCCGACAAGGUAUGUUAAGAUAUAAGGAUAAGUUUGUGUUGUCCAAAACAUCUACAUUGAUACCCACAAUCCUACAUACUUACCAUGAUUCGGUACUUGUGAGGAAUGUGUAAUAUGUCAGAAGAACAAGUCCCUAGUGUAACGAGCAUACUUGUCCAAGGUGUGUUUACCUAUGGCCGUAUGCUCCGAUUAGCCCCAAUUUACCUUGUCUUUAUGUCUUGCACGUAGCUUAGGUAGUUGCUUUCAAUUUCAAGUCGAUAUGCUUGGGUGUGACGUUUCGGCAUUUUCAUAUGUUAAAAAUGUACUAUAGGGGAGGCAUACCUGUUGAAUCCCUGCCCAAGCCUUGUCGUACUCUUUGCAGUCUAUGCUUUCUUAUUGCAAUUGACAGUCUUCAAUGCUUGUUUUAACAACGUUUUCAAUCAAUUUAAUCAUCUUUCAUGUUUUCUAAAACUAUUUUUCCAAGAACGUGAGGGGAGGUUGAAGUAUGUGUUAAAGUUGUCUGCGAUUUGCAGAUUUUGAUCGGCUGACUUGUUCGCCGAGCUAGAACAAGUGCCGCACAAUCGUUCACAAUCGUGUAUGGGUUUCGUAAGGGUUACACAGUAAAGGAAGAGUAAGAAUUUGAGUGGAGAAACUCCAAAUUGGGAUCAACACGUGGGCAACAACAUGGCUUCUCACCAACAUGAGAACUCAAAAGAGACAGCAGAUAUUCUAGAGAAGCCAAUGAACUCUUGGGAUGUGAAUCUGCACUUUCCUGCAAUAGUUUGAGUGUGAAUUAGUUCUCUGAAAACACCUGCAGAGGAUAAUCCACGGCAAAACAGAAUAACUAUAAAAAAACCACUUGCAAGUAGAAGAAAAAGGAAGUACAUUUAUACCUUCCCUGUCAAAGUGAUAUCCCUCAUCAACGGAUAUGCAUUUCUUUCCAGGAAGUAGCCAACAAUUUUACAAACCCAUGGGAGUUUAGGUUGUAAUAAGAAAACAAUUGUGUCCAACAAUAGAGUUGCAGGUGUGUUAGAGUUCACAGGUGCAGCCAAAAGUUGAUUCCUCAAUUGGUUUCUAUCAAGAACAACAUCAAGUAAGAAUAAUUCGGAGGAAAAAUAAAGGCAACUUAUCAUAUAUAUAAAUAUGAUUAGUCUGAAUUCGUUUGCGGAAGGUAAAAAAACCUUUAUGUCAAUUAUAUAUAUCUGAACAAAAUCUAAGAAAUAUAUCACUUUUCAACAAAAGAAAUAUAUCAUAUACAAUUAAAGGAUCAUAGCAUAGAAAGCCAACAAAAUCAACAAUGAUAGAUCAAACAUCUGUUUUUCCAUUCAAAACGUUAAAAAGGAUAAGUUUUUAAUAAGGAAUGUUGAAAUGGAAAAAACUAAUUACCUAUUAUGGUGUACAAUCUGGAUGCAAGCAUAUGCAAAUUUCUUAACUCUGUAAUCCACUAAGGCCUUGUUAAGUACAUAAUCCUUGCUAGCGAAAAUGCUCAACAUAUCCCCUAUAUAUGUAAGAGAGAGAAAGGUUAGAAAGUACUAACACUAAGAGAUAUGUGCUAUCAAUUAGAAACACUUUAAGAUGACAUUAUCAAUUAGAAAACCAAGUAUUAAGCAACAUAAGGGAAAAUAACAAACAAGGGCACCACAGUGGUUCAGAAACCAAUCAAUAUUUCCAUUUGUCACUUUUAUAAUAAUUUCCCAAGGGAAAAUCCUCAUAAUAAGCUUGAGUACCACCUAAUAACGUGUUCAAAUGUUACCAUAAGCAAAAAUGAGUGAUCCUAAAAUUCAUAUGACAAGGAAAGUCGUCAACUAGCAACCGCCAAAUAACAGUUAUAUGGCUAGAAUUAGUUUUCUCCAACUUCAAGAAAAUAAAACAUAUUAAAACAAAAGGAAUUAUGGUGCAAAAUAAUGAAUAUGCUGCAAAGGUAAGAAGUUUCUGAAGGUAAAAAUGGUCAAUAAAAAACAACAUAUAAUUUGACGUAAAUCAAAGUAGAAUUAUUUCUCGCAAUGAAUUCUCUGCCAAUAAUGGCUAAGAGAAGGGGUAUUUAUUGAGAAUUAGUUGGCCAGGCAGAAAUCAUCUAGGGCAUAGUAUUGUUUUAGGUCUGCGACAUUAAAAACAUAAUGAAUGUGUAAGUCUGGUGGUAGUUCUAUUUUGUAAGCAUUAUCUCCGAUCCUCUUUAGGACACGGAAUGGUCCUAAUUGUCUGUCUUUUAGUUUGUUGUAUGUUUCGGUUGGAAAUCGAUUUUUUCUUAGGUGAAUCAUUACUAAAUCUCCCUUGGUAAAGGUAGUUUGUCUUCUUUUUCUGUCUGUUGCGUCUUUGUAGGACUGAGUUGUUUCUUUUAGGUGAUUGUGGACUUCUUCGUGUAAAUUCUGGAUUUUUUCUAUCAUCUUUUCUGCCUCUGAUAGUUAGGGAACUCAACACAUUUUACUUGACCUAACCAAGAUGGCUCUUUGUAUGUAUAUUGCAUGUGUUGUUUGUUUUUUUCUAUAGCUCUUGAUUGUCUCACUUUUUUACGUUUUGCAUUUGCAAUUCUCUUUUCUUUCUUUGGUAUGCAAUGUGGUAACAAGGUCUUGCUAGAACCGGUGGGCUAACCUUUCUAUGGUUCUAAACUUAGUUUCUAAGUUUGACUGCUCCCUUCGGAGUGACAACAAGCCUCGUUUUUCUCCCUACUAUGGAACGGGGAGGAUUCAUUUUCUUUUCAAAGCCCUCGUCAAACUCAAUGCUAAGUUUGACUGCUCCCUUCGGAGUGACAACAAGCCUUGUUUUCCCCUAAUGUGGAUCGGGGAGGAUUCCUUCUCUUUUCAAAGCCCUCAUCAAACUCGAUGCUGUGUUUAGAACGCUAAGAGUAGGUGGUCUGGUUUUGGUUAGGCCAAAAGUGAAGUUUUCCCCCAUUUUUUAUGGGCUUUUUCUAAUGUAUAUUGGAUAUGUUGUUUGAUUUUUUUUAUAGCUCUUGAUUGUCUUACUGUUUUAUGUUUUGCAUUGUCAAGUCUCUGUUUUCUUUCUUUGGUAUGCAAUGUGGUAACUAGGUCUUGCUAGAACCGGUAGGCUAACCUUUCUAUGGUUCUACAUUUAGUUCCUAAUUAAGUUUGAUUGCUCCCUUCGGAGUGACAAUAAGUUUUGUUAAUGUCGACCCUUUUCUAAAGGGAUUUAGUUCACUGUGGCUAGGCAAGAGGUUUCUAACUCAUGUUUGACAAGACAAAUUUGUUAAAACCAUCUUAGUUUCUAAAGAGUGCCUCCUAUCCCUUUUUUACUCUAUCUAGGCUAGGUUUGGACUAAGUGCAUCAUAGGUAAGUCACGACAAAGCAACAAAGGAAGACAAAGCUAGAAAAGUAUUCAUGCACUUAUUUAUUAUACAUGCAAUCAAGCAUUCACAACAUACAUACCAUUUUCUCAAUCAUGCAUUCACACCUCAAUAAGAAAUAGCUAAAAGGAGCUUACAACAAAAAAGACAGCCGCUUAUUCUCAAAUUUCAGCACAUAUACUCAUCAAAAUUUAGAAUUUCACAUUGCAAACCCGAGCUCAGUGCUCAAGGGUUGCCAAUCAUGCUUUUUAUGCAAGAUCUAAUUAAGCUAAGAAGGUAUAAUGCUCAUUUUGUAUGGAAAGAAUUCUGAAAUUUUUUUUAAAUUUGGGCAAAAUUUGAACCCCGAAGUUUAGACUAAACAUGCAAGCUAAGCAAGCUAUUACCCACACCCACUCAAAAAAUUGCUUUGUCUGUCCUAAAAGCUUUUGAAAAUCAAAGUAAAUGGAGAAAAAUAAGGGGGAACUUUGGACUCCCCUAGAAGGAUCGACAUCCUUGACUUUGGUUUGAAGCUUGCAUGGAUAAACCUUUUCAUUCCUUUUUAAUUGAUUAUUCAUCCUUGUUCCUGAAAAUCAAAGGAAAUUCUCUCAAUUUUAUAUAUUACUAAAAUUAGGAUACAUAUAAGUCUUAACUAGUCUAAUAGCACCCUCCAUUCAUCUUCCCCUACACUGGCUAUGGUAUCAAAAUUUUCAAUUAAGUAAUACGUCUACUAACGAACUUGAAAACAAAACACAUCACACUAAAAAACACAAACAUCACUUUAACCCAACAGAAGCUGCUCUUUUUACCCUUGCACUCACUAUCACAUUACUAUCAUGUUUGUCAACUGUCAAACUAACUCUUUUAAGUUAUUUAGUGUGACUACAAAGUUAUGAACACCAUAAUCUUAAUUAAAACCUUUUAAUAAACAAAUGCCAAGUUACUACUCAACAAUGGCAAGGAAUUCAAAAAACAUGACUGUAACGACCCAACUUUUCUAGGUAAGUCGAAGUCAUUAAUUUCAAAUAAGGACCUGAGUUUACACAAAAUCUCAAUCUCAAACAAUUUCAAAGUCUCAAGAAAAACAAAAAUUUAUACCUGGGCCCGGUUUAAAAUAACCAGCACCUUCAAGACAAAUUUACUAAUUCGUGAAUACAGUUCAACUAUAAAAUUUUCUAAACAAUCUCAAGUACUAAACAAAACACGUGAAACAAAACAUUUAGCGGAAGCAAUUUAAAAUAACCCCUAUGGCAAUCACGCUUCCUUUCUGCCCCUCGUCGGUUUGCCGUCUUUAUUACCUUUGCCUGAAAAUUAAACAUAAGGAGGGUGAGUAUAAAAAUACCCAGUACGAGACCCUCUACUGGUCCCGUCAGGGGAAAAUAAAUUGUUAACAUUCUAUUGGGACACCCUGUACAGUCACAGUCUUGUGAUCCCGUAGGAGGCACAUUUCAGUCUAACGCCCCGAGGGACGUACAUUUCAGUCUAGUGUUCUGCAGAAACACAUAUCAGUCUAAUGCUCUUGAAGGUGCAGAAUAAUUGGUGAUCCGUGUGACACCUACAAGGCACACAUCCCAAUAAAAGCUAACAAUUUUUCCCCUCAGUCCAUUCUAAACAUCUUAACAGUCAUUCACAGAUCAGUUAAACAUUCUCAUCACGUAAACUCUUUAUUUAACCUCAAACAGUCGUCUUACUCUAGUUUAGUCCAAGGUCAAUAAAAAAACAUAUCAUUACAUCAGUUAACAAGCUAAACAAUCAUAACCUCCUCCUCAGUCACCAAGGGCACCACCAUGACGUUUCUUCCGUUCACAAGCACACAACAUAACAGUAGAUUAUACACUCAGUCUAGACAACAAUCAAUCUACUAAUCAAAUCCACACUUUAUAUAAGCAACAUCUACGAGAUUCAGUCGUUUCCACAUCCUUAUCUUUGUACACAUACAUAACUAGACAGUCACAACAUAUACUCAACCACAGUCUACAUCAAUCCAUGCACAUAUAUGUAUUAAUUUCUCCCAGUCAAACAUAGCAAACAUUAAACUUUAAGUCAAUGCCCAAACAUACAUCAUAACAGUCAUCUCUACUCAGUUCAAAUCAAUACAUCUUAAUUAGUCAUUAUAUAUUAAUUUUGUUGUUGAGUCUAGUAGAAAAUCCCUUACUUUCAAGUUAGUUAAGCUCCUUAACCACGUUGAAGUCUACGAAGAACGAACCUAAACAUUAAGACAAUUUCUCAAUAAUUCUCUUCAACGCAUCAAUCAUUUAAAUUCAACCCAAUGUGAUUUUUUUUUUACAACUUACCCAAAUCUUCACAAAACGAGUUCCAACUAGAAUCAAUUGUUUGCUGCGAACCCAAUGAAUUCGAGUGUUACCUUCAACCUAUAAUCGAACAGUAAACUAUUUAUCCAACCAAUUAAUCCAGCAAUAUUACUUGAGUUUAUUUUGGAAACAGUUACAAAUUUCAUAACUUCAAUCUUACCAAUCAAAAUUUAAUGACUCGUGGCAAAGCAGGAACGACAGCGAACAACCCAAUCGAAUGGCGUGGGUUUGCUACCUGCGGCAGGACGAAGAAGGAACUCGACGCGCAGAAAGUUGGAUCUGGGGUCUUUAGUUCGGUUCACGGUAGCGAAUUAAAACCUGAUUGCGCGGACGUCAAAGGUGUUAUUCGCGGAAGAAGUCGAGCAGCAGCUUUGCGAAGAGACGACGUGCGACGGAGAGACUGUAUACAGACGGACGGAGAGUCGCGCGGCAGUGCAGAAAACGGAGGAGAAAGGAAUGGGCGGCGGCUGGGCUUGGCUUCGACGGAGACAGAGGCGAUUAGGACGGGGCACGGCGACGCAGAUCUGGACGACGGCGCGGAGACAGAGGUUGCGCGGCGCUGGGCAGAGGGUCAAACGGCGCUGGGCGAAGGGUCACACGGCGCUGGGCGGAAGGUCACACGGCGGCCUUGCUUCGCGAACAGAGAUGGCGGCCGACGGUUGCAGCGGCGGCUGGGUAUGGUAGAAAAGAAAGAGAAACGGAAGAAGAAUAGGGGCGGCGACCGUGGAUCGGAGAAGAAAAGAAGGAUGAAAGCGAUGGUGGUCGGUUGGAGGGUGCGGCUGGAGGUAGGGAUCGGUGAAGGAGAAAAUAGAAAAAGAAAAUGAAGGGGAAAUGGGGGUUGCGCGCGGGAGGAAGAAGAAAGGAAAAAAAAUUCUUUUUUUUUUUUCUUUUCUUUUAUUUAAAUUAAAUAAUAAAACUAAAAUAUAAAUAAAUAUAUAUAUAAUUAUAUUAUCACAUUUUCAAAUCUUCUUUCUCCCCCUUCAUCAUAUUUUCUUCAAAAAAAUAAAUCUUGUACAAAUCGAAUAAUUUUCUUAAAAUAAAUUACCUUCGAGUUUGGGGCGUUACAAUGACAGCUAUAUUGUAACUUGGCACUUGGGGACUUUAAUGGUGUCAAUAUUGUAACUUCUGGUGCCAUGACAAAUAUUGGUGACUGUCAAGAUAAGUUCGCAUAGCCACCGAAAGAUACAUCGUUGCUUUUGAAGAAUGACAAGACUCUAAAUGAUAUAUGCAGCAUUAUUUUGGUUAUAUCCAAUCUUCUUUGAAGGCUAUGUACUUGAAGAUUUUAAUCAAUAAAUAAAAUGAAGUUUAAUUUUUAAAAUAAUAACAUUACAAUGGGAUGGCGAUUGGAAUUGAUUACUUUGGUUAAAAUUUAAGAUUAGAUUAAAAAAAUCAAUUAAUAGAUAAUUCCAUCCAAUCAAAAUAACUAAAUAAAAGACGAGAUUUGAAAAUAUAAUAUCCUAAUAGACACUAAUAGACUUAUAUUAAUAGAUAAUUUCCUGCCGAUGAAAAAUUACUAAAGUUGUACUAUAUUUUAUAAAUAUUUCAAAACAUUACAUAAACACUAAUUAAAGUUGGGUUUAGUAGCAAAAGGUUACAAAUUUAUUGACACCUUUUUUAGGAAAAAAAAUACCUUGACAUGAUGUAAACUAAAUUUGUAAUCAGCAUUGAAAUCUUUACUAUACUAAAUGGGCUCGUGGAGAAAAAAUUAUAUACAUCUAUUUUAUUCUUAAAUUGUCGAAAAAAAAUUAUAUUACCUUUUGUGAUCUAACGUAGUUGUGACUUUUAUAGUGUAAGUGUCCAUUUUAAUGUUUGGAAAGAUGAUUUUUCCAAUUUUUUAGUUUACAAAAUAAAGUUCUAUAUUUCAUAAAAUAAAACCUUAUGUUGAAUAUAUGUAACUAAUGUUGAUAGGAUGUGAUUGGUUGAUCUUCAAGAUACGAUGCAUUCUGUUUAGAGUGGAGAUGGUUGCACACACAUCAAAUUGGUGCAUUGAUUCCUCCAAAUUUACAUGUGAAAUGUAAAUGUAAAAGAAAAACAAAACAAACUCUUGCAGUUACACAUUAGGAAAAAAAAACGUCACGAAAUUCCAAAGUUCAAAAGAAAACAAACAUACACAGGGAUUUAAUUGAUUCAAAGUAGUAACAAAUGGUGAAAAAAUGCAUAAUUUGUUGUGAUUUCACAUUAACAUGUUAGAAUAAAAAAUUAUCGUAUUCUAUAUAUUACAAUAUUGGAUCAAAUAUUAAUACAUUAAUUUAAUUAUUUAAUUACUACAUCAAUGAAUUUCUUUUUCUUUUUUAAAUAAUAAUUUUACCAUUAAUAUUAUAUAAUAUUUGUUUAUUAUAUGCUAAAGCAUAUUUAAAAAUUAAAUAGAAUUAAGAGAUUUCACGUGAAUUUAUGCACAUGUUUCAACUGAAAAGAUGGAAACAAUAGUCACAAAUUAUUUUUUCCUAAAACAAAACAUUCGUAACCAAAUCUAAAUAUGCACUUUCAUAACUAAGGACCAAAACUCAUAUUACGUAGAAUUGAGCAUGGUUUAAAUGAAAUUAUUAACAAAAUACUUACACUUUAAACCAGGUUUUUUGGCAACAUACAUAGUGAGAAAAUUCCAAAUUUACCCUCUUACUUGUAUCUUUUCAAUAAAAAGUGCAUCUUAGUUGUAAUUAUGUCAAAAUAAAAAUAAAAAAAUAACUCGUCAGUUAACGUGGUUAUUCAUUAAUUGAUUUGGGUGAACUUUCUGAAGAUAAAAAUAACAAAAACAAACAAACAAAAGACUAGAACAUGUUAUUUAAUUAUGUAAUUACAACUUCCCUUUCUCCUCCGUGAGAAAAAAAACCAUUUCUCUAAAUUUCAUCUAUAUAUGUGUAUUGAUCAAAUGACCCAUAUCAAUAAGGACACAAAAUUGGCAAAGAACAAAUAAAUUAAAAUGGACAAUAACUCUUGUUUCAUUACUUUCUCUCUCAUUGGAGUUCUUUUGUUCACCAUCAUUUCAAAUGUGGCAUCAUCUAACGACGUUGUUUCUACCAUCUGUUCAGAAAUCUCAAAUCCACAAUUUUGUUUAAGUGUGUUGAAAUCUGCAGGCACUACAGAUCUAAAAGGCUUGGCUGUAUACACCUUAAACCUUGCUCAUUCAAAUGCUGGCAAAUCUUUGAUCCUAGCCAACUCACUAGCAAAAGCCACCACCAAUCCUCAACUUAAGCAACGAUAUUCAUUUUGUGCUGAGAGCUAUGAUGAAGUUGUUGGUGACAUUGAAAAUGCUCAAAACGACUUGGCACUUGGGGACUUUAUUGGUGUCAUUAUUGCAACUACUGGUGCCAUGACAACUCUUGGUGAUCACUGUCAGAAUAAGCUCUUGCAGCCGCCGAAGGAUACAUCGUUGCUUUUAAAGAAUAGCAACACUCUAGAUGAUAUAUUUAGCAUUAUUAUGGUUAUAUCCGAUCAUCUUUGAGGGUUAUGUACUUGAACAUUUUGAUCAAUAAAUAAACUGAAGUUUAAUUUUUAAAAUAAUAUUACAAUGUGAUGGUGAUUGGAAUUGAUUACUUACUUUGAUUAAACUUGAGAAGAUAAAGAAAAUCAAUUAAUAGAAACGUUCACCGACACACAUUGUCAGCACGUCGGAGAAAGCCUAAACUUUUUUUUCUUUUCUUUUACGUUCUGUUUUCUUUUCUUUGUUUGCCAUCAUCAUCGUCAUCUUCUUCUUCUUCUAGCUUCUUACGUUCUGUUUCAAUUGCAUACUUCUGUUAUUCUUGUAAUUUCUUCGUGGUUUUCUUUUUAACUUUGUGUUUCAGUGUGGAUUCAUAAACACAUUUUUCAGUGCUCUGGAUUCUGGAUCUGUUAUGAUUUGAAAGGGUACAGUGAAGUGAAAAGUUGAAAUGGAAAAGAAAAAAAAGAAGAAAAGAGGACACUUCUCGCGGUGGUGGCGGCAAAGACUGACGUCGACGACAACACAACUCUCCUCCUCUCCCUAUAUCUCGGCCGAUUUUGGGUUUAUUUUCGUUUUGCAUUCUGUUAUGUGUAGAAGGGAGAAUAAAUAGUGUGGACUUUCCCCGACAUCUUCGAAAACGUUGGGAAAUUUACCUUUUCGCCGACGUAUGUAGUACACACGUCGGAGAAAGUUUAAAUAAUAAAUUCAUUAUUUAAACUUUCCCCGACGUACUCCUGUCAUACGAGUCUAAAUUAAAUUUAAUGCGUUCUCCUUCGGCGAUGUGUGUCAAGGUGACGUUGGAAAAAGUUUAAACACUAAUGCAAUUAUUUUAAAUCACAUAUGUUAUCGCUUAUAUGGCAUAAGAGUCUAUUAACGAUAGAAAUCUAUCUUGAUAGGUUUUGCUACAUUUACAAUUUUUAAAAAAUAUUCUUAUAUACUUAACUAUUAUUCCUAAAAUUGCUAACCCAUUAUACUUACCCUAAGUUAAAUGUAUAAUGUCAAAAGUAAGUUUACUACGAAGGUAAUCUAUGUGACCCUUUUAUCCUAACGUAGGAAGUUUGUUCCACUCCAUACCAUUAUUGAACUAAAAGGAUUAAGUGUGUAUUAAUAUGUUUAAACAAGUAUAAUUAUAGCAAAAUCUAUAAGUGAUAUAUUGAUAUUAGCAAUACAAUACGCGUCACAUAUGCAAACAUUUUGUGUCUAAUCGUUGUAUUUACAAUUAACUCCAUUAAAAUAUUACAAAUAGAAAUAGAACUCUUUAAUCUAUGUUCAGUUAGGAUCACAAACUACAAAAUGAAAGCAUGGAACAAAUUUAAUUUUUUUUUUCUUUAAAGGAAAUUUUGUGUGUAGCACAUUAUAUUUUUUUCUUUCCUUUAAAAAACAUUAUUGAUCUUAUGAUAUUUGACAUAUAUUAUAUUUUUUUAAGAAUGUAAAUAAUGUAAAUAAUGUGCCAAAUAAUUGAAAACAUGUUAUCCAAAACAGAGAAUGGUUAAGAAAUUGUUGACAUUUAGUCAAAUUAAUAAAUAAUUCAAAAUUGUGUUUGAUUUUUGAAUUUGAAAAGAUAGUAAAUUAGAAGUGUUUUGAAAUAGUAUUUACGAGAAGAUUUUUAAUUUUAAAUAGCAUUAUAGUAGCUAUGGAUGGUUAUAUAAUAGUCUACACAAUCUUUGUCACAAAUGAUUAAUUCGAUUUUUUAAAUCAAGUCUAAUGUUUUUUUUUUUUUUUUUUGCCUAUUUCUUACCAUAAUUUACAUUUUUUGUAAGUAUAAUGGUUGAAUGCAAAAAGAGAGCUGACUAGUAAGUGCAAAAAGAGAUCUCACAAGCUUCUGCAAAAGCUAAUCAAGCAACCCAAAUCAUAAACGAGGAGAAAAGUUGAUUGGUUAAGCUUUGUUGUAGUAAAGAAGUCAAAGUGAACAUGGAACGUUCUUCACUCUCAAAGAACAUCGCCAACAUAUAGAUUAUAUACUUUUUCUGGUAUUGACCCAAAAAACACAAUCCAAGUGUAUUUUUGGUGAGAUGCAUAGUUUAACUAAACCGUGUUAUUACAAAAUUUUUAAUUACUAGGAACUCCUAAUGAAACGAAUACAUUAUUUUUAUAAUUACGAGGUAAAAUGGAAACAUACAAACUACUAAAAAAAGUUGCAAUUCGAUUAUUGGGAUUCAAUCUACUCUCCAUGAAUGUUCUUGAAAUGAGAGUUUUUAAGCAGCUACAACUUGCUUAUGUAUAAAAGCAAAACCCUUCUCAACGCCUACCUUCAGUUUUGGCUUUAGAGCUUCAAGUGAUUUUUGCCCCUACUCAGAUAAACCCUGAAGAUCAGAUGUUACAAAGGCUUCAAUUCCACAUGCAAAAAUCAUGUUCAUGAACCAAAAGCACCUUAAGCUUCUCUUCGAUAUCUUUGAGCUCACUGGAUAAAGAACUGAUUUCUAAAGCAAUCAUCUCUACCAUAUCCUCAUCGUUCCCACUGUCUUUUAAUAAGGUUGGCAUGAUAAUCACAACAAAGAAGAAGAAACUAAGAUCAAUUUAACAAAUUUUAUGUUGGGAAACUUUUUUAAGAACAACUACUUAUAAACCAACCUUAGCUUUGGCCUCACAUUCCUUGAAUUUUCUAAAAGUAGAUACCACCUGUCCGGGCAACCCACACCAACCAACCAAGAGUAAGUUAGUGUGAAAGACACUUAUUUAAUGAAGAAUAUGUAAAAGAGGUCAUUCCAACUGUUACACAUAAUAGUAUUGGAGGCAGAUAACCUUGCCAUACCUCAUCAAGUUCUGAUAUUGAUUGAGCUAGUUUUUGAUACUCUGUGGGGUUUGAGACAAUAUCUGGAUUGACCAGCUUAACCUAAAUAAUAAUAUCGAUAGUGAUUAUUGUGUAGGAAAAUAUUAAAGCUAUAACCAAAUCAAAAGCAUAAUUGGAAAUACAUCAAAGAUGUAAAUGCAAAUUUCAAAAGUGGAUCUACAGAAUGUAAGGGGAAGAAACUCAAAUAAAAUUACUUUAUUAGUUAUACGACUACUAUAGAGAUUCCAGAUACACCACAGUUCCACGUCCUCUUUCAGGAGGAAAGCAAUGGUUAAAAAUUAAUUGUGAAAACUAAAGAAGGUCCUGUUCAAAUCCUAACAGCAAUAGGAAAGCAAGGAGUUAUAAGGUGAUCACUAUAGCCAAAUCCAAAAUGCAUUCAAUAUUUGUCUUCCAAUUUCAUUAUCAAGUGCAUAGGCAAGGUCCCUAGUGAGGAAGUUAUUCGUUCUUUUCUUCAUUUUCUAUAGCUCUAGAAGUAGCUAAAUGGAAUCGUCAAGCACCUAAUCUAUUAAUUUUAAAACUCAAAAGUUCACCGCGGGAUUCUAGUCACUGCUGAAACAACAUAGAGUUCACUAGUUCCACAGUUAAAUUAAUUGCAAAUUGCAUUUCCUGGCAUUUUCAAGAAAAAAAAAAUGCACAAAUCAUAAUAUGAUGAAGUAGAAAAAUUUUGUGAGCUCGACUUUUCCAGGACAUAUCUUAGCUACUUCUCCUAUUCCAGCUCGAUAACCAUUGUACUUUAACAAUUGAAACAUUAAUCCAAUAGUUAACAAUGUUCUGCACUUUAUGCCCUUACAUUUCCAACAACUUGAUGCAUACAUCAGUAGUUAACACAGGCACGAGCUCUUAAAUUCAAUGCAAAAUAACAGUCCCAUUCCAAGCAUAGACACCAAAUACAAACAAUUGAUGGACUUGAAUCAGUGAAGAAAUAAGAAUGUCAUUUAACAGCAAAGCACAAAUUACCGAUAAUUUUUUCCACGUCUUCUCAGCAGAUUCCAAUUUCACGAUCAAAUAAGGUUCCUAAAAUAAAGCAAUCACCAUCAUCAUUUUCCACAAAUAUGAUUCGAACUAGUUUUACCACAAAUUAAUUUCUAGUAACUUGAAGAAAAACUCAGUGAACUCAAAGCAUAACGAAACUCAAGUUCUGUUAAAGCCAAUCCGAACAAUAAGAUAUAGACAUAUUGUGUUCUCGAAAGAAAAACAUUCAAUAAAUCUAACAGCCAUGCAAAUUAGAGUUGAAGCUCUAAAGGGAGGUGCAAAGCAUUUAAGUUCCAGAGAGCAUCUUCUGAAGGCGAUGAGCCCAUAAGAUGAAAAAAAGGCCUCAAGUGAGGAAGAAAGACGCCAUCCAAACAUGAAAAAAGGAAGAAAGGCAAGAUUUUGGUAGCUCCAGACCUGAGGGAAGCCAACAAGGUGGCGAGGGAGGCAAGGCCCCAAAGUUUAGCAUUGCCAGCAAAGUGAAGGUAGAGAAGGACCUUUCCUUUCGACGUGGCCCUCCGAGAGUUUAUGGACGCCCCAAUUGGGGCGUUUGGAUGGAGUAAGUUCUUCAAGGGACUUCCAAGAUUCGAUGGAGGUUGUCAAGAAAUUCUACGCAUCAGAUUACAACCACUACAAGGAAUUUCAGAUCAACCAACACAAUUUAACACUAUUGGGAGAAUCCACGAAUUCUUGGUCAAGUAGAAGAACCUCCAUGUGGAAGAAACAAAUUGUGAACGUGUCGAAGACCUUGAAGUGUGGAAAUGGAAGAUCAAAGAGUUCCAGCUUCGCCAGUCGACAGGGACGUCAACUGUUUAAGUAGGGGAGAAUGUCAAGAGCAUGCUUGUCCAAGGCAUUGUUUGCCCAUGGCCGCAUGGCCGAACAUCCUCAAACCGCCUUAUAUUUAUGUCUUAUACUUAGUUUAGCCAUUUUGUUUCCUUUUGUUGUCGCCGACCUAGGGUGUGACGUUUCAAAAUUUUCAUAUGCAAGUCUGUCAUAGCUAAAAAUGUUUAAAAUGUACUAUAGGGAAGACAUAGUAGUUGAAUCCCUGACCAAGCCUUGUUGCACUCUUUGCAUUCUAAUCUUUCUUUGCAAUUAACAGUCUUCAAUGCUUUCUUUAACGAUGUUUUCAAUUCUUUUCUUCUCUUCUUGUCUUAUAAAAAUAAAUUUCUCUCAAAACAUGAAAGAGGCUAUACCGUACUGCGUGCUUUUUGCGACUUCUGGAUUUCAUACAGCUUACUUGUUCACCGAGCUAGAACAAACGUCGCAUAAUCACCAUCCCCUAUUUGAAAAUUUACGAUUAUGACAGCAUGCGGUGAGGUGCACGCGGCAUGUGUGGGCCCAAGCCAAGCAUGCAACUGGCAUUCUGAUACUCUAUGCACGUGCAUGCUGCCUGCGCCCAUGCCGUGCAGCCAGCAUUGUCAUGACGUAGUUUUUGGGAUGUUUGGUGUUUUGGGAAAUUUUGAGCAAAUUCUGGAUGUUCGAGCAUGCGGAUGUUCUAUGCAAUGCAACCAGCAGCCCAUAUGUUCUAUGUUCUCUUUACGGUCGUAUGUGCACAUUUGGUUAACUCUACUACUAAUGGGAAAGUUGACGAGCCUAUGCUGAAUUCAUCAGGAAAGGUGUACUUUGUUGAGCCCAUUGAGGAGAAGGAUACCUUCUUUUUUCGAAGAGGUGUUUCAAUGCCUAGGCCGUCUUUUGACAAUGAGGUGUUAAUAUUACCUAGACUUCAUGCUAAGAACGGGUUGUGAAUUUAUAAUCAAGAAUGCAGUUCGAGUAUCAUGUCUUUCAAAUGAUUUCCAACAGCUUGAAUGUUUCUAUAAGACAAGAAUUUAUGCUUAACUGUUUUAGAAAGCAUGUUUUAUAAAAAUUGUCACUCACUAAGUCUUUCGACUUAUCCUUUCAAAUCAUUUCUCACUUUUCAGGUAUGGAUUAUGCAUUCCCUAAUGUUAAGCGUAUUGCUGCUGAGCCAACCAGUUACUAGAAAUUGUUAAGUCAUUUUGAAAGUUAGUUUUGACUUUGUAAGAAAAGUUCAGGAUGAGCAUGUCUAUGUUUAUUGUUAAAGUUCCAAUGUUAUAAGUUAGUUUAGUAAAAAGGUCACUGUCAUGUUUAAAGCUUCUGCUGAUGUAUCACAAUAGUUGUAACUAGUGGUUUAAGUUAUUAGUAAAAGCAUGUAGCUUGUAUCGCUGUUUGUUUUGAGCAUGCAUUCAUGUUGUAACUGGUAGUUAAGUUAGAAAGGUUAGUCGGUUGGUAAGUUUUGCCAAGGUAUGGCAAUCCUUGCCAACCCUCGCACCUUCUUUCAGAGCUAGAUGUUGUUCAGAAAAUAAGGAGCUUUGGGAGGGGGUGGUGACAACAACACCAUCCCACUAGAGUACGCAAUGAUGCAUUAUUGUUUAAUUAAGUCAUAUAUACUUCCACAAUUUGGAUAGGAAUUUAACUCAUUAGAAGGUGUCCUAUAGAAUUUCUCAGUGAAAAGUUCAGAGAAGCUACAAACAAAUGUCACUACCGAACAACAAUCAUAUACAUGGGUUAGGGCUUUGAGCAGUGUGAACACAACUUAAUAAUAAAUAUGAAGUCGUCCUCUUUUCAUCAUUAGUCAGAAGAAUUCUUAAACUUUCUAAAAAUAAUUGUCAAAUAAUUGAUUAUAUAGUAUGCCAUUUAUUUGGAAUACAAUUUUUUCAUUACCAGGAAAGGAGACUUCUCACUAAGUAAAUGUAAAGAGACUAAUGCUAUAAUUUGAAUUGGAAAAUAUAAUUUCAUAAUUAAGCAUCGAAUAGGGACUAGUUAAGAAGUACACACUUUAGUUUGCCAGAGUCCAUGUUCUACACAUGUUAGCCACUCUGUCAUUGGUUUAGCAGUAAAACAAAGGAUGUGUUUAGGAUGUGAGCCACACAAAAGGGAAAGAAAACAGAAGGCGCAGUGAGCCACACAAAAGGGAUCGAAACGAAUGUUCAGAAAUAUCGGAAGGAUCGAAGAAAUAUGGAAGGAAAGACGAGGAAAAAACAACAGACCGGAGCAAGUUCAAGAAGGUAGAGAUCCCGAUCUUCAAUGGAAUAGACCCCGAUUCAUGGUUAUUUCGCGCCGAUCGUUAUUUCAAGAUACACAAGUUGACUGACUCAGAGAAGUUAAUGGUAGCGGUAAUCAGUUAUUAGGACCAGCUUUGGAUUGGUAUAGAUCAAUUGAUGAAUUGGAACAAUUCAAGAGUUGGGAAGAUUUGAAGCAAAGGUUGUUGUCCGAUUUCAGACGAUUCGGGAUGGAACACUCGUAGGCAGAUUCUUAAGGAUUAAGCAGGAAACGACAGUAGGGGAAUAUAGAAACAGUUUCGAUAAAUAUUUAGCUCCGGUAGCCUUCCUCCAGACCAUAGUAUUAGAAGAAACCUUUAUGAAUGGGCUAAGCCCAUGGCAUAAAUCCGAAGUUGAAACGCUGGAGCCCAUAGGUUUGGCCAAGAUGAUGUAACUAGCCCUGAAAUUGAAAAUAGAGAGAUGGUUCGUCGAGAAUGUGGGCUUAGUAGUGUUUCGGGAAUGAAUCAACAAUUCAAGCAUAAUAACGUAAAGCAAACCUCGACAGUAACACCCAAUCAGAAACCCACGGAAGGGAGCUGGCCAAUGAGAACGAUUACGUUAAAAAGAGUGACGGCAGAUGAAAAGAGGAGGGAAGGUCCGACCAAGCGUCUUUCCAACGCUGAAUUUCAAGCACGGAGGGAAAACGGUCUGUGUUUUCAGUGUGAGGAGAAGUAUCACGCUGGACAUAGGCGUAAGGUGAAGGAACAGAAGGAAUUACGGAUGUUAGUAGUAAAGGAAAUGGGAGAAGAACUGGAAAUCAUUGAGGAUGAACACUUUGAUGUGGAAACGGAGGCCCAGACCAUUGAAAUUGAAAAAGUGGAGAAUAUGAAUAUAGAGCUGUCCAUUAACUCAAUUGUGGGGUUAUCCAACCCUGGAACCAUGAAACUGAAAGGGAAGAUAAAAGAGACCAAAGUGGUAAUAAUCAUCGACAGUGGAGCCACCCACAGUUUUAUUGCAAAAAAUUUUGUAACCACCCUUAGCCUACCAAUGACAGAAACGUCCAACUAUGGAGUGAUUUUGGGAUCAGGGGUUGCGGUCAAAGGAAAAGGAAUCCGCAGUAAUGUUGAAGUGACGGUAGGAGAGUGGAAAAUUACAAACAACUUUUUACCCUUGGAAUUAGGGGUGGUUGCACUCAUUGGGCAUGACUGAAUUUGAUAUGAAAAAUUUGGUGAUGACAUUCCGACAUGGAGGAAGGAAGAUAGAGAUAAAGGGGGACCCUAGUGUCACCAAAACCCAAGUGAGCCUAAAGUCUAUAAUUAAGACAUGGGGAGCUGAUAAUCACGGUUAUUUGGUAGAAUGUCGGGCCAUGGAGGGAAGGCUAGCUGAGGAAGGCUUAGAGGAUGAAGAAGUGCCAGCCACUGUUGACAACAUGAUCUCUCCUCUGUUGAGCAAAUUUAAUGAUGUUUUUGAUUGGUUGGAAGAGCUGCCUUCGAAGAGGAACAUUGAGCACCAUAUACCCCUUCAGAAGGGGGUGGAUCCAGUUAAUGUCAGACCUUAUCGUUACGCACAUCGGCAAAAGGAGGAAAUUGAAAGACUAGUUGAUGAAAUGUUGAAGACAGGCAUCAUAUGACCGGGUACCAGUCUGUAUUCCAGCCCAGUCCUUCUCGUGAAAAAGAAAGAUGAUAGCUGGCAAUUUUGUGUAGAUUAUCGGGAGUUGAACAAUGUCACUAUCCCAGAUAAGUUCCCAAUUCCGGUCAUAGAUGAGUUAUUCAAUGAGCUGAAUGGGGCCAACAUGUUUUCGAAGAUUUAUUUAAAGGCGGGUUAUCACCAAAUCAGGAUGCAUCUGAGAGGUGUAGAGAAGACGGCCUUUCGAACACAAUGAGGGACACUAUGAGAUUCUUGGUCAUGCCCGUUUGAGCUAACCAAUGCCCCCUCUACGUUCCAAGCAUUAAUGAACCACAUCUUUAAGCCUUAUAUGAGAAAGAUUCGUAUUAGUGUUUUUCGAUGACAUUUUGGUGUACAACAGGGGAGUAGAAGAACAUGGACAGCAUCUGGAAGUAGUCUUGGAGAUCCUUCGAGAGAAUGAAUUGUAUGUGAAUUUAGCCAAAUGUUGCUUUGCCAAAAGUAGAAUAGGUUAUUUGGGGCAUUUCAUAUCCGAAAAGGGAGCUAAAGUUGAUCCAGAAAAAAUAAGGGCAAUUAGGGGAAUGGUCGAUUCCCACUAGUGUGCGAGAAGUUCGAGGUUUCUUAGGACUCAAUUGAUACUAUAGGAAGUUUGGGCAGAAUUAUGGCAGUAUCGAAAGCCCUUUGACACAGCUUUUGAAGACAGGAACUCAUUGUUGGACUGAAGAAGCAAGUGCUGCCUUUGAGAAGUUGAAGAUGGCAAUGAUGAUUCUACCGACGUUAGCUAUGCUGGACUUUAAUCUACCACUCGAGAUAGAAACAUAUGUAUCUUGUUUUGGUGUGGGGCCGUUUUAGUACAAGCCAAGAGACAAAUAUCCUUCUUUAGUAAAACCUUAUGCAUGUGGGAUAGAGCGCGACUGGUUUAUGAAAGAGAAUUGAUAAUAGUAGUGUUUGCGGUGCAAAGGUGGAGACCAUAUUUGUUAGGGAAGAAAUUUACAGUGAAAACUGAUCAGAAGUCGCUCAAAUUUCGGCUAGAACAAAGGGUGAUUCAACCCUAAUACCAAAAAUGGAUAGCCAAUCUUUUGGGAUAUUCAUUUGAGGUAGUCUGCAAUCCUGGAUUGGAGAAUAAGGCAGCCGAUGCUCUAUCUAGAACACCCCGUAUAGUGCACUUAAAUCAAAUAUCAGCCCCAACACUACUCGAUUUAGUGGUGAGUCAAGAAGAGGAAAAGAGGGAUCAAUACCUACAGGAAAUCCAGAAGAAAAUAGAAAGAACAAAAAGUGAAAGUUCCAAACUUUUCAGUACAGCAAGGGGUAUUGAAAUACAAAGGAAGGUUGGUGCUGUCAAAAACAUCCGUUCUACUACCCACUAUCAUGCAUACCUAUCAUGAUUUUGUCUUUGGAGGACAUUCAGGGUUCCUAAGAACGUACAAGAGGAUGACCGGAGAGAUUUACUAGGAAGGAAUGAAGAAAAACAUAAAGAAAUACUAUGAAGAAUGUCUUGUAUGCCAAAGGAAUAAAACACUUGCAUUAUUACCUGCUGGAUUGCUGCUGCGCACUUGAGAUUCCUAACACAGUGUGGUCGGAUAUUUCCAUGGAUUUUAUAGAUGGACUUCCAAAAUCAGCUGGAAAAGAAGUGAUUUUUGUGGUUGUAGAUUGUCUGAGUAAGUAUGCACAUUUUACAGCUAUAAAUCAUUCUUACAUGGCCAGCUUCGUAGCAGAAGUUUUUGUUAAAGAAGUGGUGAGAUUGCACGGUAGCAUGUAUCCGCAGUAAGUUGUAUCGGAUCAAGACAAAAUCUUUAUUAGUCAUUUCUGGAAGGAAAUGUUCAAGUUAGUGGGAACUAAAAUAAAUAGAAGGAAAUGUUCAGGUUAGUGGGAACUAUGCCCAUAUACACCAAGUUCGAAUAUAGAACUUGCUUCUUACUGAAAAAAUAAUGAUUAUGGGACUUGCUAUAAGGGUAUCCAAUACUCGAAGUAAAUGAAUGAUUACAAAAUGAUUGUUUCCUCAGUUUGAAGAAGAACAACAAAAAAGAAAAGAAGGAUAAAAAUAAAAAAAAAAACAAACUUUCUUUUUGAAAUUCUAAAAGAAUCCAAAAAGACUUCAAAAGGUGCAACCAAGAAAGGAGGUCAAAGAAGGGCUCUGAUAGACCCCCCUAUCAUACGUCAAUAUAGUCAAAAAAAAAAAGAGAGAGAUCACAAGGGAACACACAUGCGAAGAAGAAAAGAUUUAAAGGAUUGUUAGAAGAAAAGAUUUAAAAAGCUUGUUGGGCGUCGGUUAGAUUUGAGGAGAUUUAGGAGGGUCGUUAGGUGUUGAUUAGAAUAAAUAAGGAUAGGGAGGAAAGAGGAGGGUAUGCUGAGUUUAGAAGAAAAUUGACUCAUGCUCUUCCUUGAGCGAUAGGAUAGCAGAGAGGGAAUUAGAUUGUUUUUCGAAUUGAGUCCUCCUCAAUUUGAGUGUUCUGAUAUUUUGAUUUUCCUUGUAACUCAUUCUUUGAUUGAAGCAAUAAAAGUUCUAAUUGGAUUUCCAAAAGAGUUCUAUCAAAUUGGUAUCAGAGACAGUUUUUUCUGACCAAGAGGAAAAUGAUGGUCCAAACACGAAUGAAGGAGAGAAUGGAGGCGCACGACCAGGAGAUGCAUUUGAUGAGAAGCGAGAUAAGCAAAAUUUCGACAAUGAAAGAAAUAUUAGCCACGAUCAGCGUACAGACAAAGAAGACUCACAAAAUGUUGAUAAUGUUCAUGGAAUCGAUUACCAGAGAGCAUAUCGUUAUGAGUGAGAAAAUGGCCGAGUCGAGUGUGCGAGAGACAGUAUCAACAAUAACGAAUAAGAAGGAAGGCUCGAUCGAAAAGGACCAUGAGCACGAAACAAAGGAUGGAAAGAUAGAAGGAGAAGACGGAGCGAACGAGCAUAAUAAGUUCAAGAAGGUUGAGAUGCCAGUUUUCAACACGGAAGAUCCCAAUUUUUGACCCUUUCGAGCAGAUAGAUAUUUUCAGAUACACAAAUUGACUGAUGCUGAGAAGGUCCUGGUUGCGACCAUUAGUUUUGAAGGCCCGACGCUGAACUAGUAUAGGGCGCAAGAAGAACACGACAAGUUUACCAGUUGGUCGAACCUCAAGGAGAGAAUACUCAUCCGUUUUCAAUCAGCAAAAGAGGGGUCCAUAUGCGGACAAUUUUUUAGGAUCGGAUAACAGACGACAGUAGAAGAAUAUCGAAACCAGUUAUAUAAGCUGAUGGAACCGUUAUCCGAUCUACAAGACAGAGUGGUGGAGGAAACAUUCAUGAACGGUUUACUGCCGUGGAUUAAAGCAGAAGUGGAUUUUUGUCGUCCGGUCGACGUGGCUCAAAUGGUGCACGCGGCUCAACUCGUAGAAAAUCGAGAGAUAAUUCACAAUGAGGCCAACCUUAAGGGGUACGCCCAAGGAAAAUAUCCGCCUCAAGGUUCUAGGCAAAAUACGAGUGCUGCGACGGUGAACGAUAGCGACAAUAAGAGAAAUACAUUAUUUUCGAUGAGAACGAUUACUCUGAGAACGACAUCCAGAGAAGUUAAGAGAGGGGCAGGCAAAGCGAUUGUUAGACGCGGAGUUUCAAGUCAGGAAGGAAAAAGGACAUUGUUUCCGUUGUAAUGAGAUAUAUUAUCAUGAUCAUCGAUGCAAAAACAGAGGGCAAAGAGAGUUGAGAAUGUACGUGGUCAGGGCGAAUGAUGAAGAAUUUGAAAUCAUAGAAGAAGUGGGAGAAAAUGAAUUGUUUGGAAAUCACAUAAGAAGAUCAUGUUGUCAUCGAACUGUCAAUUAAUUCGGUGGUGGGGCUGAACAAUCCGAGGACAAUGAAGGUGAGGGGGAAUAUCAGUGAGCGAGAAGUUUUCAUUUUCAUUGAUUGUGGAGCAACGCACAACUUCAUCUCCGAAAAGAUAGUAAAGGAGUUACAACUGGCCACGAAGGCAACGUCGCACUAUGGUGUAAUCUUGGGCUCGGGGGAGGCGAUAAAAGGUAAAGGAGUAUGUGAGGACGUGGAAAUCAAGUUGAACGGGUGGAAGGUGGUGGAAAAUUUGUUACCCUUAGAAUUGAGAGGGGUAGAUGUUGUGUUAGGAAUGCAGUAGUUGUAUUCAUUGGGCAUGACGGAAGUAGAUUGGAGGAACCUCACAAUGACUUUUGUGCAACAAGGAGAAAAGGUAGUGAUAAGAGGAGACCCAAGUUUGACCAAAUCCAGAGUGAGUCUCAAGAACAUGAUCAAAAGGUGGAAGGAUUCGUGAUCGAGUGCCGAGCAAUGGAGAGAGUCUUUGAGCCACAGGAAGAUAACGGGAUUGAAGAAGUAUUAACUACUGAUGAAGCAGUAUCGGUCGUGUUGAAGAAUUUUGAAGAUGUUUCUAAUUGGCCGAAGACACUACCCCCGCAAAGAAAUAUUGAACAUCACAUUCAUUUGAAACAGGGCACUGAUCUGGUAAAUGUUCGACCCUAUAGAUACGCUUAUCAACAGAAAGCUGAGAUGGACAAACUUGUGGAUGAGAUGUUGACAGCUGGAAUUAUCCGUCCCAGCAACAGUCCAUAUCUAGUCCAGUUCUAUUGGUAAUGAAAAAAGAUGGCAGCUGGCGUUUUUGCGUAGACUACCAAGCGCUGAACAAUGUAACCAUUCCAGACAAAUUCCCUAUUCCGGUGGUUAAGGAGCUUUUCGAUGAAUUAAAUGAAGCAAACUGGUUUUCAAAGAUUGAUUUGAAGGUGGGGUACCAUCAGAUCAAAAUGUGUGGAGAAGACAUCGAAAAAGCAGCAUUCCGAACACAUGAUGGACACUAUGAAUUUAUGGUUAUGCCAUUCGGCUUAACUAAUGCCACAUCCACUUUCCAAGCUCUGAUGAACUCAACAUUCAAACCAUUUUUGCAGAAGUUCAUAUUAGUGUUUUUCGACGACAUACUAAUCUACAGUGAGAACUUGGAACACCAUUUGAAGCACAUUGGGUUAGCAUUGGAAAUCCUGAGAAAGAAUGAGUUAUAUGCAAACAAGAAGAAGUGCAGCUUCGCACAAGAACGUAUUGAUUAUUUGGGUCAUAUCAUUUCAAGACAAGGAGUUGAAGUGGACCUUGAGAAAAUCAGAGCAAUCACGGAAUGGCCUAUACCCAGUAAUAUAAGAGAGGUACGGGGAUUCCUAGGCCUCACCUGUAACUAAAGAAAGUUCGUUCAGCACUAUGGCUCCAUUGCCGCACCAUUGAUUCAACUACUUAGGAAAGGGGGAUUCCAGUGGACUGAGGAGUCUAAGGAGGCAUUCCAACAACUACAAAAUGCGAUGAUGACCCUGCCCGUUUUGGCGUUGAAAAAAUUUCAAUGCCACAUUUGAAAUGGAAACCGAUGCAUCGGGAUAUGGGGUAGGAGUCGUACUCGUCCAAGCCAAGCGUCCCAUAGCAUACUUUAGUCAUACGUUAGCCUCAAGAGAUAGAGCCAAGCCUGUACAUAAAAGGGAAUUAAUGGCAGUGGUCUUGCAUGUGCAACGAUGGCGACCAUAUCUGUUGGGGAGAAAAUUUAUUGUGAAGACCGAUCAGAAAUCCUUGAAGUUCUUGUUAGAACAAAGAGUGAUACAGCUUCAGUAUCAGAAAUGGGUAGCGAAGCUAACGGGAUACUCAUUUGAGGUGGUCUACAAACUCAGCUUGGAGAAUAAAGCAGUAGACGCCUUGUCUUGGAUGCCUCCUACAAUUAACCUCGGUAGCAUAACAGCUCCUACAUUGGUUGACAUUCUGGUGACUAAAAAGGAAGUCAAAGCGUAUGAAAAAUUAAGCAAAAUAAUGGAAGAACUACAAGCAAUGGAAGAAGUAACAGAGGGUAAAUUCUCCAUCCGACAAGGUAUGUUAAGAUAUAAGGAUAAGUUUGUGUUGUCCAAAACAUCUACAUUGAUACCCACAAUCCUACAUACUUACCAUGAUUUGGUACUUGUGAGGAAUGUGUAAUAUGUCAGAAGAACAAGUCCCUAGUGUAACGAGCAUACUUGUCCAAGGUGUGUUUACCUAUGGCCGUAUGCUCCGAUUAGCCCCAAUUUACCUUGUCUUUAUGUCUUGCACGUAGCUUAGGUAGUUGCUUUCAAUUUCAAGUCGAUAUGCUUGGGUGUGACGUUUCGGCAUUUUCAUAUGUUAAAAAUGUACUAUAGGGGAGGCAUACCUGUUGAAUCCCUGCCCAAGCCUUGUCGUACUCUUUGCAGUCUAUGCUUUCUUAUUGCAAUUGACAGUCUUCAAUGCUUGUUUUAACAACGUUUUCAAUCAAUUUAAUCAUCUUUCAUGUUUUCUAAAACUAUUUUUCCAAGAACGUGAGGGGAGGUUGAAGUAUGUGUUAAAGUUGUCUGCGAUUUGCAGAUUUUGAUCGGCUGACUUGUUCGCCGAGCUAGAACAAGUGCCGCACAAUCGUUCACAUCGUGUUUGAAGGGUUACACAGUAAAGGAAGAGUAAGAAUUUGAGUGGAGAAACUCCAAUUGGGAUCAACACGUGGGCAACAACAUGGCUUCUCACCAACAUGAGAACUCAAAAGAGACAGCAGAUAUUCUAGAGAAGCCAAUGAACUCUUGGGAUGUGAAUCUGCACUUUCCUGCAAUAGUUUGAGUGUGAAUUAGUUCUCUGAAAACACCUGCAGAGGAUAAUCCACGGCAAAACAGAAUAACUAUAAAAAAACCACUUGCAAGUAGAAGAAAAAGGAAGUACAUUUAUACCUUCCCUGUCAAAGUGAUAUCCCUCAUCAACGGAUAUGCAUUUCUUUCCAGGAAGUAGCCAACAAUUUUACAAACCCAUGGGAGUUUAGGUUGUAAUAAGAAAACAAUUGUGUCCAACAAUAGAGUUGCAGGUGUGUUAGAGUUCACAGGUGCAGCCAAAAGUUGAUUCCUCAAUUGGUUUCUAUCAAGAACAACAUCAAGUAAGAAUAAUUCGGAGGAAAAAUAAAGGCAACUUAUCAUAUAUAUAAAUAUGAUUAGUCUGAAUUCGUUUGCGGAAGGUAAAAAAACCUUUAUGUCAAUUAUAUAUAUCUGAACAAAAUCUAAGAAAUAUAUCACUUUUCAACAAAAGAAAUAUAUCAUAUACAAUUAAAGGAUCAUAGCAUAGAAAGCCAACAAAAUCAACAAUGAUAGAUCAAACAUCUGUUUUUCCAUUCAAAACGUUAAAAAGGAUAAGUUUUUAAUAAGGAAUGUUGAAAUGGAAAAAACUAAUUACCUAUUAUGGUGUACAAUCUGGAUGCAAGCAUAUGCAAAUUUCUUAACUCUGUAAUCCACUAAGGCCUUGUUAAGUACAUAAUCCUUGCUAGCGAAAAUGCUCAACAUAUCCCCUAUAUAUGUAAGAGAGAGAAAGGUUAGAAAGUACUAACACUAAGAGAUAUGUGCUAUCAAUUAGAAACACUUUAAGAUGACAUUAUCAAUUAGAAAACCAAGUAUUAAGCAACAUAAGGGAAAAUAACAAACAAGGGCACCACAGUGGUUCAGAAACCAAUCAAUAUUUCCAUUUGUCACUUUUAUAAUAAUUUCCCAAGGGAAAAUCCUCAUAAUAAGCUUGAGUACCACCUAAUAACGUGUUCAAAUGUUACCAUAAGCAAAAAUGAGUGAUCCUAAAAUUCAUAUGACAAGGAAAGUCGUCAACUAGCAACCGCCAAAUAACAGUUAUAUGGCUAGAAUUAGUUUUCUCCAACUUCAAGAAAAUAAAACAUAUUAAAACAAAAGGAAUUAUGGUGCAAAAUAAUGAAUAUGCCUGCAAAGGUAAGAAGUUUCUGAAGGUAAAAAUGGUCAAUAAAAAACAACAUAUAAUUUGACGUAAAUCAAAGUAGAAUUAUUUCUCGCAAUGAAUUCUCUGCCAAUAAUGGCUAAGAGAAGGGGUAUUUAUUGAGAAUUAGUUGGCCAGGCAGAAAUCAUCUAGGGCAUAGUAUUGUUUUAGGUCUGCGACAUUAAAAACAUAAUGAAUGUGUAAGUCUGGUGGUAGUUCUAUUUUGUAAGCAUUAUCUCCGAUCCUCUUUAGGACACGGAAUGGUCCUAAUUGUCUGUCUUUUAGUUUGUUGUAUGUUUCGGUUGGAAAUCGAUUUUUUCUUAGGUGAAUCAUUACUAAAUCUCCCUUGGUAAAGGUAGUUUGUCUUCUUUUUCUGUCUGUUGCGUCUUUGUAGGACUGAGUUGUUUCUUUUAGGUGAUUGUGGACUUCUUCGUGUAAAUUCUGGAUUUUUUCUAUCAUCUUUUCUGCCUCUGAUAGUUAGGGAACUCAACACAUUUUACUUGACCUAACCAAGAUGGCUCUUUGUAUGUAUAUUGCAUGUGUUGUUUGUUUUUUCUAUAGCUCUUGAUUGUCUCACUUUUUUACGUUUUGCAUUUGCAAUUCUCUUUUCUUUCUUUGGUAUGCAAUGUGGUAACAAGGUCUUGCUAGAGCCGGUGGGCUAACCUUUCUAUGGUUCUAAACUUAGUUUCUAAGUUUGAUUGCUCCCUUCGGAGUGACAACAAGCCUCGUUUUCCCCUACUAUGGAAUGGGGAGGAUUCAUUUUCUUUUCAAAGCCCUCGUCAAACUCAAUGCUAAGUUUGACUGCUCCCUUCAAAGUGACAACAAGCCUUGUUUUCCCCUAAUGUGGAUCGGGGAGGAUUCCUUCUCUUUUCAAAGCCCUCAUCAAACUCGAUGUUGUGUUUAGAACGCUAAGAGUAGGUGGUCUGGUUUUGGUUAGGCCAAAAGUGAAGUUUUCCCCCAUUUUUUAUGGGCUUUUUCUAAUGUAUAUUGGAUAUGUUGUUUGAUUUUUUUUAUAGCUCUUGAUUGUCUUACUGUUUUAUGUUUUGCAUUGUCAAGUCUCUGUUUUCUUUCUUUGGUAUGCAAUGUGGUAACUAGGUCUUGCUAGAACCGGUAGGCUAACCUUUCUAUGGUUCUACAUUUAGUUCCUAAUUAAGUUUGAUUGCUCCCUUCGGAGUGACAAUAAGUUUUGUUAAUGUCGACCCUUUUCUAAAGGGAUUUAGUUCACUGUGGCUAGGCAAGAGGUUUCUAACUCAUGUUUGACAAGACAAAUUUGUUAAAACCAUCUUAGUUUUUAAAGAGUGCCUCCUAUCCCUUUUUUACUCUAUCUAGGCUAGGUUUGGACUAAGUGCAUCAUAGGUUAGUCACGACAAAGCAACAAAGGAAGACAAAGCUAGAAAAGUAUUCAUGCACUUAUUUAUUAUACAUGCAAUCAAGCAUUCACAACAUACAUACCAUUUUCUCAAUCAUGCAUUCACACCUCAAUAAGAAAUAGCUAAAAGGAGCUUAAAACAAAAAAGACAGCCGCUUAUUCUCAAAUUUCAGCACAUAUACUCAUCAAAAUUUAGAAUUUCACAUUGCAAACCCGAGCUCAGUGCUCAAGGGUUGCCAAUCAUGCUUUUUAUGCAAGAUCUAAUUAAGCUAAGAAGGUAUAAUGCUCAUUUUGUAUGGAAAGAAUUCUGAAAUUUUUUAAAAUUUGGGCAAAAUUUGAACCCCGAAGUUUAGACUAAACAUGCAAGCUAAGCAAGCUAUUACCCACACCCACUCAAAAAAUUGCUUUGUAUGUCCUAAAAGCUUUUGAAAAUCAAAGUAAAUGGAGAAAAAUAAGGGGGGAACUUUGGACUCCCCUAGAAGGAUCGACAUCCUUGACUUUGGUUUGAAGCUUGCAUGGAUAAACCUUUUCAUUCCUUUUUAAUUGAUUAUUCAUCGUUGUUCCUGAAAAUCAAAGGAAAUUCUCUCAAUUUUAUAUAUUACUAAAAUUAGGAUACAUAUAAGUCUUAACUAGUCUAAUAGCACCCUCCAUUCAUCUUCCCCUACACUGGCUAUGGUAUCAAAAUUUUCAAUUAAGUAAUACGUCUACUAACAAACUUGAAAACAAAAGACAUCACACUAAAAAACACAAACAUCACUUUAACCCAACAGAAGCUGCUCUUUUUACCCUUGCACUCACUAUCACAUUACUAUCAUGUUUGUCAACUGUCAAACUAACUCUUUUAAGUUAUUUAGUGUGACUACAAAGUUAUUAACACCAUAAUCUUAAUUAAAACCUUUUAAUAAACAAAUGCCAAGUUACUACUCAACAAUGGCAAGGAAUUCAAAAAACAUGACUGUAACGACCCAACUUUUCUAAGUAAGUCGAUGUCAUUAAUUUCAAAUAAGGACCUGAGUUUACACAAAAUCUCAAUCUCAAACAAUUUCAAAGUCUCAAGAAAAACAAAAAUUUAUAUCUGGGCCCUGUUUAAAAUAACCAGCACCUUCAAGACAAAUUUACUAAUUCGUGAAUACAGUUCAACUAUAAAAUUUUCUAAACAAUCUCAAGUACUAAACAAAACACGUGAAACAAAACAUUUAGUGGAAGCAAUUUAAAAUAACCCCUAUGGCAAUCACGCUUCCUUUCUGCCCCUCGCCGGUUUGGCGUCUUUAUUACCUUUGCCUGAAAAUUAAACAUAAGGAGGGUGAGUAUAAAAAUACUCAGUAAGAGACCCUCUACUGGUCCCGUCAGGGGAAAAUAAAUUGUUAACAUUCUAUUGGGACACCCUCUACAGUCACAGUCUUGUGAUCCCGUAGGAUGCACAUUUCAGUCUAACACCCCGAAGGACGUACAUUUUAGUCUAGUGUUCUGCAGAAACACAUAUCAGUCUAAUGCUCCUGAAGGUGCAAAAUAAUUGGUGAUCCGUGGGACACCUACAAGGCACACAUCCCAAUAAAAGCUAACAAUUUUUCCCCUCAGUCCAUUCUAAACAUCUUAACAGUCAUUCACAGAUCAGUUAAACAUUCUCAUCACGUAAACUCCUUAUUUAACCUCAAACAGUCGUCUUACUCUAAUUUAGUCCAAGGUCAAUAAAAAAACAUAUCAUUACAUCAGUUAACAAACUAAACAAUCAUAACCUCCUCCUCAGUCACCAAGGGCACCACCAUGACGUUUCUUCCGUUCACAAGCACACAACAUAACAGUAGAUUAUACACUCAGUCUAGACAACAAUCAAUCUACUAAUCAAAUCCACACUUUAUAUAAGCAACAUCUACGAGAUUCAGUCUUUUCCACAUCCUUAUCUUUGUACACAUACAUAACCAGACAGUCACAACAUAUACUCAACCACAGUCUACAUCAAUCCAUGCACAUAUAUGUAUUAAUUUCUCACAGUCAAACAUAGCAAACAUUAAACUUUAAGUCAAUGCCCAAACAUACAUCAUAACAGUCAUCUCUACUCAGUUCAAAUAUAAUAAUACGGUCCAUACAGUCAAUACAUCUUAAUAAGUCAUUAUAUCUUAAUUUUGUUGUUGAGUCUAGUAGAAAAUCUCUUACUUUCAAGUUAGUUAAGCUCCUUAACCACGUUGAAGUCUACGAAGAACGAACCUAAACAUUAAGACAAUUUCUCAAUAAUUCUCUUCAAGGCAUCAAUCAUUUAAAUUCAACCCAAUGUGAUUUAUUUUUUACAACUUACCCAAAUCUUCACGAAACGAGUUCCAAUUAGAAUCAAUUGUUUGCUGUGAACCCAAGGAAUUCGAGCGUUACCUUCAACCUAUAAUCGAACAAGUAAACGAUUUAUCCAACCAAUUAAUCCAGCAAUAUUACUUGAGUUUAUUUUGGAAACAGUUACAAAUUUCAUAACUUCAAUCUUACCAAUCAAAAUUUAAUGACUCGUGGCAAAGCAGGAACGACAGCGAACAACCCAAUCGAAUGGCGUGGGUUUGCUACCUGCGGCAGAACGAAGAAGGAACUCGACGCGCAGAAAGUUGGAUCUGGGGUCUUUAGUUCGGUUCACGGUAGCGAAUGAAAACCUGAUUGCGCAGACGUCAAAGGUGUUAUUCGCGGAAGAAGUCGAGCAGCAGCUUUGUGAAGAGACGACGUGCGAGGAGAGACUGUAUACAGACGGACGGAGAGUCGCGCGACAGUGCAGAAAACGGAGGAGAAAGGAAUGGGCGGCGGCUGGGCUUGGCUUCGACGGAGACAGAGGCGAUUAGGACGGGGCACGGCGACGCAGAUCUGGACGACGGCGCGGAGACAGAGGUUGCGCGGCGCUGGGCAGAGGGUCACACGGCGCUGGGCGAAGGGUCACACGGCGCUGGGCGGAAGGUCACACGGCGGCCUUGCUUCGCGAACAGAGAUGGCGGUCGACGGUUGCAGCGGCGGCUGGGUAUGGUAGAAAAGAAAGAGAAACGGAAGAAGAAUAGGGGCGGCGACCGUGGAUUGGAGAAGAAAAGAAGGAGGAAAGCGAUGGUGGUCGGUUGGAGGGUGCGGCUGGAGGUAGGGAUCGGUGAAGGAGAAAAUAGAAAAAGAAAAUGAAGGGGAAAGGGGGGUUGGGCGCGAGAGGAAGAAGAAAGGAAAAAAAAUUCUGUUUUUUUUUUUUCUUUUAUUUAAAUUAAAUAAUAAAACUAAAAUAUAAAUAAAUAUAUAUAUAAUUAUAUUAUCACAUUUUCAAAUCUUCUUUCUCCCCCUUCAACAUAUUUUCUUCAAAAAAAUAAAUCUUGUACAAAUCGAAUAAUUUUCUUAAAAUAAAUUACCUUCGAGUUUGGGGCGUUACAAUGACAGCUAUAUUGUAACUUGGCACUUGGGGACUUUAAUGGUGUCAAUAUUGUAACUUCUGGUGCCAUGACAAAUAUUGGUGACUGUCAAGAUAAGUUCGCAUAGCCACCGAAAGAUACAUCGUUGCUUUUGAAAAAUGGCAAGACUCUAAAUGAUAUAUGCAACAUUAUUUUGGUUAUAUCCAAUCUUUUUUUAAGGCUAUGUACUUGAAGAUUUUAAUCAAUAAAUAAAAUGAAGUUUAAUUUUUAAAAUAAUAACAUUACAAUGGGAUGGCGAUUGGAAUUGAUUACUUUGGUUAAAAUUUAAGAUUAGAUUAAAAAAAUCAAUUAAUAGAUAAUUCCAUCUAAUCAAAAUAACUAAAUAAAAGACGAGAUUUGAAAAUAUAAUAUCCUAAUAUACACUAAUAGACUUAUAUUAAUAGAUAAUUUCCUGCCGAUGAAAAAUUACUAAAGUUGUACUAUAUUUUAUAAAUAUUUUAAAACAUUACAUAAACACUAAUUAAAGUUGGGUUUAGUAGCAAAAGGUUACAAAUUUAUUGACACCUUCUUUUAGGAAAAAAAAAUACCUUGACAUGAGGUAAACUAAAUUUGUAAUCAGCGUUGAAAUCUUUACUAUAUUAAAUGGGCUCGUGGAGAAAAAAUUAUAUACAUCUAUUUUAUUCUUAAAUUGUCGAAAAAAAAUUAUAUUACCUUUUGUGAUCUAACGUAGUUGUGAUUUUUAUAGUGUAAGUGUCCAUUUUAAUGUUUGGAAAGAUGAUUUUUCCAAUUUUUUAGUUUACAAAAUAAAGUUCUAUAUUUUAAAAAAUAAAACCUUAUGUUGAAUAUGUGUAACUAAUGUUGAUAGGAUGUGAUUGGUUGAUCUUCAAGAUACGAUGCAUUCUGUUUAGAGUGGAGAUGGUUGCACACACAUCAAAUUUGCGUUGAUUCCUCCAAAUUUACAUGUGAAAUGUAAAUGUAAAAGAAAAACAAAAUAAACUCUUGCAGUUACACAUUAAAAAAAAAAAACGUCACGAAAUUCCAAAGUUCAAAAGAAAACAAACACACACAGGGAUUUAAUUGAUUCAAAGUAGUAACGAAUGGUGAAAAAAUGCAUCAUUUCUUGUGAUUUCACAUUAACAUGUUAGAAUAAAAAAUUAUCGUAUUCUAUAUAUUACAAUAUUGGAUCAAAUAUUAAUACAUUAAUUUAAUUAUUUAAUUACUACAACAAUGAAUUUCUUUUUCUUUUUUAAAUAAUAAUUUUACCAUUAAUAUUAUAUAAUAUUUGUUUAUUAUAUGCUAAAGCAUAUUUAAAAAUUAAAUAGAAUUAAGAGAUUUCACGUGAAUUUAUGCACAUGUUUCAACUGAAAAGAUGGAAACAAUAGUCACAAAUUAUUUUUUCCUAAAACAAAACAUUCAUAACCAAAUCUAAAUAUGCACUUUCAUAACUAAGGACCAAAACUCAUAUUACGUAGAAUUGAGCAUGGUUUAAAUGAAAUUAUUAACAAAAUACUUACACUUUACACCAGGUUUUUUGGCAACAUACCACUAGUAGAAAAGUGGUAUACGAUGACAGUUAUUUACUGUCGUAAACGAAAUUCGCGACAGUUAUUUUCAGUAAUAGAAGCGGGAGUCAUGGAAAGUCCUUCGAUGAUAGUUUUUAAAAACUGUCGCAAUAAGUUAUUUUAUGACAUGAAAUAAAUGUCGUUAAUCAGAAUUCAAUGACGUCAAAUAACUGUCAUAUUUUAUUUUAUGACAACAAAUAACUAUCAUCAUUUGUGGAUUAACGACGGUUAAAUAAAUGUCGCAAAUUCAUUUAUUGUGACAUUUUUUAAUUGUCAUGAAUAUGUUAAUCGCGACAGUUUUUUUAUAUAAAAAUGUCAUUGUUUUGCUAUUGACGACAUUUUUUUCCUGUCACAUCUAGGGCAAUCGUGACAAUUUAUUUUAUUAAACAACUAUCAUCGUUUUCGGAUUGACAACAAUUAAUAACUGUCACAAAUUCAUUUAUUACGUCAUUUAUUUUCUGUUGCAAAUUUCUCAAUUUACUACAGUUUUUUCCUG
Molecule: long non-coding RNA, 51777 nt
Filed under: Cucumis sativus (cucumber)
Lineage: Eukaryota; Viridiplantae; Streptophyta; Magnoliopsida; Cucurbitales; Cucurbitaceae
Description: long non-coding RNA (CSAT_LNC002348)
Source: RNAcentral